Molecule: long non-coding RNA, 52394 nt
Filed under: Podarcis lilfordi (Lilford's wall lizard)
Lineage: Eukaryota; Metazoa; Chordata; Lepidosauria; Squamata; Lacertidae
Source: RNAcentral
UGUCCGACUCUUCGUGACCCCCUGGACCAGAGCACGCCAGGCACUCCUAUCUUCCACUGCCUCCCGCAGUUUGGUCAAACUCAUGCUGGUAGCUUCGAGAACACUAUCCAACCAUCUCGUCCUCUGUCGUCCCUUUCUCCUUGUGCCCUCCAUCUUUCCCAACAUCAGGGUCUUUUCCAGGGAGUCUUCUCUUCUCAUGAGGUGGCCAAAGUCUUGGAGCCUCAGCUUCAGGAUCUGUCCUUCCAGUGAGCACUCAGGGCUGAUUUCCUUCAGAAUGGAUAGGUUUGAUCUUCUUGCAGUCCAUGGGACUCUCAAGAGUCUCCUCCAGCACCAUAAUAUAUAUAUAUAUUAUAUAUAUUAUGUAUAGCAUAUAUAGCAACACCCUAGAGGUCCUGGGCCCUAAGGAAGUUAGAUUAGCCUCAACCAGAGACAGGGCCUUCUCAACACUGGCUCUGGCCUGGUGGAAUGCUCUGUCUCAUGAGACCAGGGCCCUGCGGGAUCUGAUCUCUUUCCGCAGGGCCUGUAAGACAGAGUUGUUCCACCUGGCCUUUGGCUUAGAAUCAGUUUGAUUCCCUCUCCCUCUUUCUUUUUCCUUUCUCCUCCUAUGAAGAGAUUGCACCCUAAUGUUUUAAUGUUGCAUCUUAAUCUUUUAAAUUGUAUUUUAGUCUACUUGUUUUUAUUAUUGGUUGUUAGCCGCCCUGAGCCCGGUCUUGGCUGGGGAGGGUGGGGUAUAAAUAAAAAAAUUAUUAUUAUUAAAAGGGGGAAAAACCGAGCUGACGCUCGGAGGGAGCGGCGCACGCGCUCUUGCUCACGUGGCGUAGGUCCGCUCGCUCGGUGUGCUGCCUGCUGUGGCCACCACGGCAUGAAGCCGCUAGCUGAGCAGGGAAGCACCACGACCAGCUUCCACCUCUUCCCCACUGGAGAAGCCACCCUCCAGCUGCUGCCCGCCUCCUCCAGCCCUAAAAAAAGGUUGACAACUCUUUGGAGGGGGGGCACCAGAGGUGCCAGAUAUGCUUAAGACGGCCCUGUCCCUAUAUCUCCAUCUUAACCAAAGGGAUCUUCCCAUCUCCACAAACAGAUGCCCUCCUCCCAGCCCAUUUAGUAAGUAAACUGAAAUAUACUCGGAGUCGAGAGUGGAUUUUAUGCUCUUUACUCAGCUCAUAGUGGUGAGGAGGAAUGGAAGUUCCCCCACAAUAUCUGCUUUAUAUACAUUAUUUACACAAUGGGUCGCACGUGAUUGGCUAAUUCCAGGAUUCUCCUGCAGGCUAAUCAGGUUGUGGAUUCACUUCCACCUGGAGCUGGAUUGGCUGGCUCCUGUGGACCAAUCAUACUGCUGCAUUGUUCUAGGACCAAUCAGACUGCUGCAUUUUGGAUCCUAUUGUUCUAGGACCAAUCAGACUGCUGCAUUUUGGAUCCUGUUCAACUCAGUACAUAACAUAAACACUCAAAUGAAAGUGUCAUGAUUUUCUUAACAUAUUGUUCUAAGACUGGGGUUUUGACAGGAGUAAAGUUUUGGGGUCAGAAAUACUGCAAAUAGUCCCCAGCAAAAUUGCCAAUAAGCACCAUUGUCAUUGAUACUGCAGACCUCGGCGUGACUUUGUAUCUCCAGUUCCACAAUGUUCUGACAGGGAAUGCACAAAAACGCCCACAGGCACCCUAGGAGAAUGUGAGAAACUGCUGAACUUUAAUCCCUGCACAAUCUUAGAUGGCAAGAGGUUGUGACCAUUUCAAAAAAAACCCCACCAAUCAGGUCCUCAAAGGCUCUGGCACUCAACUUUCCAGGUGCUACCAAACUUUUAAUCAGUCCAUAUGACUUUUCUUCACAACCAGGAAAAUGGCGCACUUCUUGGGAGUGUUUCUCUGUAUGUUGGGCCUAGUCCUCCUGAUCACCAUCAAACUCCUUCAUAAUCGCAUAAGCAGCCAUUUCCCAGUCAUUCACUGUUGCUUACUGGGUGUGAAGAAACCAGGGACACGGGUGUAUCCAGUUUGCCUCCUCUGUGCACCAGUAAAAUAAAAGAAUAAUCGAUUUGAUAUCUUGGUUUAUUUAUUUUUCAAUCAUUUUUAUUGAUUUUCCAAUAAAAAACAUCCAAUUAAUAUAUCCAAUCAUAAUACUUCAAUUAAAAUAAAAUUUGCUGCGCCAUCCAAGAUAACAGAUUUGGACAACAUCCCGAAUUGGAAUGGAAUCAGAGGAAGCUGAGGUGAUAAAAAGACAGUUGGAAAAAUAUAUAUUAACAAAGCUGUAUUCGAUGGAUGAAAGUACAUGAUAUUUGACAUGAAUGAGAAUCGUGGACCCAGGGAUAAAGAAUUAUGAAGCGUUAAAAUCGAGAUGUGGAAAAUAUGGAAACGACGAGGAGAAGCAGGACUAAGAAGUGGAGAGAUGCUUCAGAGAUCCAGACUGUGGGGAGCUCCGAAAAAUUAAUAAAUACAAUUUGGAUUAUAAUUUGAUCUUUUUUAUUUUAGUUUUUUAUUUUGAUUUCUUGGUUUAUUUUUUAAACAGUUCUCAGUCUGUCAUCAUACAACCACUCUUGAACAGCACCAGAUUGGUAACACCAACUUAUAAAAUCUAUAUUUCAUUUAGAAAGUACAACGAAGGGUGUCUUAGAUGGUAUUUGAAGUGUAAAGGCACAUAUUUAGUACAACAAAUUAUUAUUAUUAUUAGCCAAGCUACAGGGAACGAGCCAGAGGGCCUUUUCGGUAGUGGCGCCCGCCCUGUGGAACACUCUCCCACCAGAUGUCAAAGAGAAGAACAACUACCAGACUUUUAGAAGACAUCUGAAGGCAGCCCUGUUUAGGGAAGCUUUUAAUGUUUGAUGUAUUACAGUAUUUUAAUAUUUUUUUGGAAGCCGCUCAGAGUGGCUGGGGAAGCCCAGCCAGAUGGGCGGGGUAUAAAUAAUAAAUUAUUAUUAUUAUUAUAACAGCUCAGACAAAGGGGCAAAAGAAGAACGCAAUUCUCUCGCCAAACCUUUCUGAAAUGGGUUUGAGACCGUAUACAGCGCCACAACCCCAGAGUCGUCCGUGACUGGACUUAACGGUUAGGGGUCCCUUUACCUUUACCUUUUAUAGUUACUCUGCAUCCAGUGUGCUCCCAGUGCUGGUUUGCAAAGCUGUGUACACGAUACAAUCCGCAAUCCAUAUCUAUCCAGUAACAAUUCUGUCAUUUCUUAGGAAAGACUGUGUUUUAAUAAUAAUAAUAAUAAUAAUAAUAAUAAUAAUAAUAAUAAUAAUAAUAAUAAUUUAUUAUUUAUACCCUGCCCAUCUGGCUGAAUUUCCCCAGCCACUCUGGGCGGCUUCCACAAAGACCAAAAAUACAGUAAUAUAUCAUACAUUAAAAACUUCCCUGAACAGGGCUGCCUUAAGAUGUCUUCUGAAUGUCAGGUAGUUGUUUAUCUCUUUGACAUCUGAUGGGAGGGCGUUCCACACGGCGGGCGCCACUACCGAGAAGGCCCUCUGCCUGGUUCCCUGUAGCUUUGCUUCUCGCAGUGAGGGAACCGCCAGAAGGCCCUCAGCACUGGUCCUCAGCGUCCGGGCAGAACAAUGGGGGUGGAGACGCUCCUUCAGGUAUACUGGACCGAGGCCAUUUAGGGCUUUAAAGGUCAACACCAACACUUUGAAUUGUGCUCGGAAACGUACUGGGAGCCAAUGUAGGCCUUUCAAGACCAGUGUUAUGUGGUCUUGGCGGCCGCCCCCAGUCACCAGUCUAGCUGCCACAUUCUGGAUUAGUUGUAGUUUCCGGGUCACCUUCAAAGGUAGCCCCACGUAGAGCGCAUUGCAGUAGUCCAAGCGGGAGAUUACUAGAGCAUGCACCACUCUGGCAAGACAGUCUGCGGGCAGGUAGGGUCUCAGUCUGUGGACCAGAUGGAGCUGGUAGACAGCUGCCCUGGAUACAGAAUUGACCUGCGCCUCCAUGGACAGCUGUGAGUCCAAAAUGAUGUGCUUCCCCCCAGAACCACCUUCAAUAUGAAGUAAGAAAAGGAACGACCUAGCUGUGUUUUAAGCUGUUCAUGUGUACACAGCCUUUGACACAAAUGUUUCCAGAAUCUAAUAUUUCAAGCAGUAUGUUGUUAACUGGAGGAGCCUUGUUUGAGCGGCGAUUUUACCUUCCUACCUUACUGGAGGCUUGCCUUAUCCUCUUUGCCGAGGCUGUCUGCUGUCAGACACACUGACUCCACUUAAUAAACUCACUUAAAGCAGAGCUUUCUUAAGUAACAGAGUAAGUACAUCAAUUAGUUGCUUCAGCAUAAAGACAAACAUACAUCUCCUCCAUCACUUUCUCUGGCUCACCUAGUCAACAACAAGGAAGCCAAGUCAGUAAUUAGUUGGGAAACAAAGAGUCCAUUGCUGACCUUGUCUUAAGGCCAGAAACACUGAGGCUCACUAUAGCUGUAGCUCCAAACGACUGCACUGAGCGCAAGUAUGCUCUUCACAAGUAAUAACAGUCAUAAACAGCUACUUAUGAACAAUUUGGAGCAUUAUUUUAGGAGAUUUCCUUUUCACAUUUGCACCCAGGCCUGAGAGGACCCGUGCUCACUUCACUCGUCAUUCUUGAGCAGGGGCCGGCAACCUAAGGCCAUGGGCCACAAGCGGCCCAUGGGGGCCGUUUAACUGGCCCACGAGUCGCCCCCGAACUGAGUCGCCCACUCGCGCGCUGCGCUAAACCGGCACAGCACAGCGCGGGGACUCGCUUCCACGGUGCUGGAAAUUGUGCCUGCGCAGACGCAGAUGCCAGAAAUCGUGUCUGCGUAGACGAGACGCUGGAAAUCGCAGGCGCUUGCGCGCGCAAUCCAGCCCACAGAGGGAUCUCUGCUGGAGUGAACUGGCCCAGGUGAGGUAAACCUUGCCGUUCUUGAGAAGGACACGUCACGCACCCCUCUUCAAGUGUGAAUGAAGUGGAAUUAGACAAAUGGUUUUUUCAAAAACUGGGAAGCAUGUAGACAUGUGCUUCAUAGGCAGGCAAAAGAACUACAUGAGUAAAAUGCCUGGAUUUUGGUCAGUAUCAUCCAGGAUGUCAGUGGCAGCAGAGCAAAGUUCCCCUUUUAUUAAACUGAAUGUGCACAUCUCCCUAUUUCAUGCGCAGAAAAAAGGGGCAGUGCGCUCUUCUUGCCUGUCUCCUCCUUGUAAGAGAUGACAUCCUAAGCCAGAGGAUUUUGAGUCCAUAGCUCCCUUGAUCAGCUCCCUUCUUUCUGCCAGUCCCCUCUCUCAUUAUAGUAUAUGGAGGUGGCUGUUAUUUUGUCUGCCGGGAUGAAAUAUACUUGGAGUUGAGUGUGGAUUUCAUGCUCUUUAUUCAGCUCAUAGUAGUGAGGAAUGAAAGUUCCCCCAAAAUAUCUGCUUUAUAUACAUUAUUUACACAAUGGGUCGCACGUGAUUGGCUUCUCCUAUAGGCCAAUCAGGUUGUGGAUUCACUUCCACCUGGAGCUGGAUUGGGUGGCUCCUGCGGACCAAUCAUACUGCUGCAUUGUUCUAGGACCAAUCAGACUGCUGCAUUCUGGACCCUAUUGUUCUAGGACCAAUCAGACUGCUGCAUUCUGGACCCUAUUGUUCUAGGACCAAUCAGACUGCUGCUUUUUGGAUCCUAUUCAACUCAGUACAUAACACGGGCGGGGGAUGCAUUUGUUUUAAAACUGAGGACUAGACUAAUGCCUUCACCCCAUUUUGCACACAUGGCUUUUAUUAUCUCUGGAAUUGCAAAUAUGGUUUUUCUUUUAUUAGUGGAGGUGGAUAUCUCCCUCCCUGAGCCCUGCUGGUAAAGUGAAUCAUCAUAAUCCAUGGCCUUGGCAGGCAGAUUAGUUGCAUGUAGCUUCUUUUCAGAGUGGAACAGUUGCUCUGUGUACCUGCUUGGGCUUGUAUUUUGGUUUCAGAUAUUGUGAAAUCGCCUUAAACCCUGAGAGGGCCUGACUUAGGCACCCUCCCAAACCAGCACGAUAAAUAAGUGAGGGGCGAAUCCUUUUGCAGGACAUGCCUCUCUUCUUGCAUGCUUUUUCCAAACAAGAGGACUCACUCAACCACCCUUCCUCUUUGAAGAACGCCUAAUGCCCCAGAAAAUACUCUAGUCAAGAUGUAAAAGUAUUUUUGUAUGCCACAACUGCAGCACGGAUUUUAAUAGCCCCAAAAUGGAAAACACAAGAAUUACCAACAGUAGAAGAAUGGCAGAUGAAGAUGAUGGAUUUUAUGGAGCUGGCUGAUCUCACUGGGAGAAUCUGCGACCAGAAAGAAGAGGAAUAUCAAGAAGAGUGGAAGGAAUUUAAAGACUAUUUGAAUAAAUAUUCUUAUAUUAAAGAUUUGUAAUUACUUGAAAGAACCAAUUAGGCCUAGGAUUAUAUUAGGAUUAAAUAAAUAAAUGAGAACUAGAAUGAUAAGAAAAUAUAGGAAAUUUGAUUAUAACCUGAAUAUUGUCUUUUUUAAAGGGAAUAAUGAUAUUGGAAACUGCUAUAUCCAAUUACAACGAAAUUCAGAUGGAAGAAAUUUGAAGAAGUCAAGUAAUAUGUUUAUGAAGUUGGAGUUUAACUGAUUAAUUAAGUUUUAUUGUAUUUGUGUAUGUGGUGUUAUUUUUGGGUAAUAUAUGAGAGGUUUGUAAUAUGUGAUCUCUUUUUCUUUUCUUUUAUUAUUGUUUUUUUAAUUUUUCUGUGUUUGUAUGAAAUUCAAUAAAUAUUAUUGGGGGGGGGGGAGAAAAUACUUUAGCCAAGAGCUUCAACAAGAACAGUUUCAUAGUUCAAGCAUCACUCUCAAUACCGGGGGGGGGGGGGGUUGGCUUCCUACCCUUCCUUUCCCCUUUAAAAAACUUAUUUUUUCUUCUGUAUUUGCGGGUCGGCUGGAUGCACUGCAAAGUGAGAUUCUGCAGACCCUCUAAGUGUCCUUAUUUUCCAGGAACAGGUCCAGAUUUACAGAAGCCAUCCCAGUUUCUGAUUUGAUCCUGGAAUGCCUCACUUUCCCUUAAGAAGUCCCUAUUUUCAUUGGAGAAAUGUUGGCAGGUCUAAUAAUAAUAAGAAUAAUAAUACAUUAUUUAUACCCCGCCCUCCCCAGCCAAGACCACGCUCAGGGCGGCUAACACCAGGUAUAAAAACAAUUGAUUAAAAUACAACUUAAAAACAAGAUUAAAAUGCAGCCUCAUUUCAGUAGAAACUCCAAUCAAAAACUUUUGGGGGAUGAAAACGUCAAAUCUUCACCAAGGCCAGCUAUCCAGACUGGUCCUAUGUGGGCCAGAAAAAAGCCAGGGAAGUCCCCAAAUACGAGUUCCAUCACAGAAGGAGAAAGGAGAAAGGAAAGAGAGGAAGGGAGGGGAUCAAGUUGAUUCCAAGCCAAAGGCCAGGUGGAACAACUCUGUCUUACAGGACCUGUAAUAUAGAGUUAUGCAUAUGUGGUGGACCUGUCCCAAGGUGAAAGACUUCUGGGAAAAGAUUUAUAAUGAAUUGAAAAAAAAAUGUUGAAAUAUACAUUUAUAAAGAAACCAGAGGCCUUUCUUCUUGGAAUAACAGGUUUGGAAUUGCCCAAGAAAGAUGUUAAAUUAUUUUUGUAUGUCACAACUGCUGCUCGUAUAUUGUUAGCUAAAAAGUGGAAAACCCAAGAAUUACCAACGAUAGAAGAAUGGCAGAUGAAGAUGAUGGAAUUUUCGGAGCUAGCCAACCUAACCAGAAAAGUCCGCGACCAGAAGGAGGAGGAGUAUCAGGAGAGUGGAACAAAUGUAAUGAUUAUCUAGUUAAAUUUAUUAAGUUAAAUUAACUGAAAACAGCUUGCAGAUACUUAAUUGGCUUAGGAUUUUAUUUAUGUUAAGUGAUGAAUUAAUAUUUCAUUUCACAUUUCAUAAUGUGAAGAUUUAAGCAUGUUAAUGUUUAAGUUAAAUUUUAUAAGAACUGUGAUUUGGAAAACCGUUAAAAGGAUAUGCAAUGAAAUUCAACCAAGGGGAAGCGAGGAAGUCACUUAAGAAAGUUAAUAAGUGUAAUUUUCAAUAAGGCUAUGAUUUAUGUUUGUUUGUCUUAUAUGUUUGUUUGUUUAUAAUGUUGUGAAAACCAAUAAAAAUUUUUUUUUUUAAAAAAGGAAUAUAGAGUUAUGCAACCCCUGAGUCAAGGAGAUAAGUUAACUAUUCAACUUUUAGAAGACAUCUGAAGGCAGCCCUGUGUAGGGAAGGCUUUUUUAUGCUUCAUAUUUUAUUACGUUUUUGUAUAUGUUGGAAGCCGCCCAGAGUGUCUGGGGCAUCCCAGUCAGAUGGGCAGGGUGCAAAUAAUAAAAUUAUUGUUAUUAUUGUUAUUCUUACUACUACUACUAUUAAUAUUACGGAACAAAACGUCCCAAUUUUCAUUAGAGAAAUGUUGGAGGGUAUGAGUUCUGGUGAGACUCCAACCACCCACCAUCUUAAUUUGCCAUAUAAAUUAGUAUGUGCACAUUUUAUGCAAAUUUGUGUCAUGAGCCUAAACCCUGAAUCUGCAGCAUUGAUGCAACCAAUUGUAUUUUUAAAUAUACAGUAUUACUGCCUCUCCUGGUAUGCCCCGCAGAGGACCUUAAGGUCCAUGAAUAAUCAUAGUUUAGAGGUCCUGGGCCCUAAGGAAGUCAGAUUAUCCUCCACCAGGGCCAGGGCCUUCUCAGUGGUGGCUCCAACCUGGUGGAAUGCUCUGUCCCAUGAGACCAGGGCCCUGCAGGAUUUAACUUCCUUCCGCAGGGCCUGUAAGACAGAGCUAUUCCGCCUGGCUUUCAAUUUGAACUUAGCCUGAUCUUUUAUUCCACUUCCUUCCCUCCCCCUCCCCUUUUGAUGAAGAUUACCCGCUCUGGGAUCCCACAGCUAAUUCUCCCCUGGUCUCCUCGCUGGCCCAAUUUAGCCAGCUAGCCCUGGUGAUCAUCUAAUGUUUAUUGGAUGGAUUUCCCCCUUAGAUUGAUUUUUGAUUUUUCAAUUUAUUUUUAUUCACAUUUUAUACUGCAUUUUAUGCUGUUUUUGUUGCAUCAAUUAAGUGUUUUAAAUUUAAAAUGUAAAAACUGCCCUGAGCCCGGUUUUCUGAACCUGGAAGGGUGGGGUAUAAAUAAUAAUAAUAAUAAUAAUUAUUAUUAUUAUUAUUAUUAUUAUUAUUAUUAUUUCUGCAUCUGGAUUACCCUGUUAGAGAUUUUACCACCCAAAAAAUGUGUUAGUUCUUAAGGUGCCACAAGACUCUUUGGGGUUUUUUUGAGGUGAGGUGGGGGGAUAGCUACUCCUCUGAAGCUUGUUAAAACAGUUUUUGUAACUCUAGGGAAGGCAACAAUGGUCAGUUGGGAUUGGGAAAACCUUGGGGCUUUUCUUCUCUGCCUGCAAUUUUUAAUGCCCUCCCCCAAUUUCUUUUCCUUUUUCACUGGCUAAUUUUGAGCUUCAUAUGAUCACUGCAAAUGGUGACAGCAGCCAUGAAAUUAAAAGACGCCUGCUUCUUGGGAGAAAAGCAAUGACAAACCUAGACAGCAUCUUAAAAAGCAGAGACAUCACCUUGCCAACAAAGGCCCGUAUAGUUAAAGCUAUGGUUUUCCCAGUAGUGAUGUAUGGAAGUGAGAGCUGGACCAUAAAGAAGGCUGAUCGCUGAAGAAUUUGUGCUUUUGAAUUAUGGUGCUGGAGGAGACUCUUGAGAGUCCCAUGGACUGCAAGAAGAUCAAACCUAUCCAUUCUGAAGGAAAUCAGCCCUGAGUGGUCACUGGAAGGACAGAUCCUGAAGCUGAGGCUCCAAUACUUUGGCCACCUCAUGAGAAGAGAAGACUCCCUGGAAAAGACCCUGAUGUUGGGAAAGAUGGAGGGCACAAGGAGAAGGGGACGACAGAGGACAAGAUGGUUGGAUAGUGUUCUUGAAGCUACCAGCAUGAGUCUGACCAAACUGCGGGAGGCAGUGGAAGACAGGAGUGCCUGGCGUGCUCUGGUCCAGGGGGUCAUGAAGAGUCGGACACGACUAAACGACUAAACAACAACAACAUGUUGGGACAAACUCAACAAGGCUUACUUUCCCCAUUCAGUUCUUCGGAUUGAACUGGCCUGAAAGCAUGGAUGAACAACUUGGACUCCCCCUGUCGUCGCCGUCGCGCCCCCCUUGGCACUCCAUGCCGCAAACAGUUGAAUGUUCAUUUACAGUAGAUGCUCUGUCUUAGUCUUAAUUUGCUUUUAAGCAGCUUCUUCAAAUAGCACAGUCAUUAUUCUCUUAGGUGCUUUACAAAAACACGAUCAAUUAGCUGGGCUCCCCUGUGGAUUUUCUCAGGGUUUUUAAUUUUUUUUUAAAAAAAACAAACAAAAAGCACUCAGCCUUUUAGGGAGGCUUUGACAUCUGCAAGAGCUCGAUGCUUCGGAGAGAGGAAAAAACCCCACGGAACAAAAUAUGGAACACUGGAAAUCAAAUCAUUUUCUGGUUAGGACAGCCAGGCCCAUUGUCCGUAUGGGUGGGCUCUUAGCACCUGCAGGCGAAACUGGCAGCCCUGCCCAGAUGAAGGACCAUUCAGAAGACUGACGUUAUGUUCCUCUCGGACAAAACUAGGUUUGUUUGAAAAUCUGCCCUCAGACACAGAGUUUGUCUCCUUGCUUAUACUUUUCAAACGGGAUGCAGUCAUUGGUUCAUUGUUUGCACCAAAUUUGCUUGCCGCUCCAUAAAGAAGCCACAGAUUUGCUGGGCUGCUCUUUUCUUCCCGAAUGGCCCAUGGCCAGUACAGUGGUACCUCAGGUUACAUACGCUUCAGGUUACAUAUGCUUCAGGCUACAGACUCCGCUAACCCAGAAAUAGUACCUCGGGUUAAGAACUUUGCUUCAGGAUGAGAACAGAAACCGCGCUCCAGUGGCGCGGCGGCAGCGGAAGGCCCCAUUAGCUAAAGUGGUGCUUCAGGUUAAGAACAGUUUCAGGUUAAGAACAGACCUCCAGAACGAAUUAAGUUCUUAACCCAAGGUACCACUGUAUUACUCUCGAGGUUUCAUAAACAGAAGAGGGAAAGGCAGGCACAGAUCCUCACACGUGUGUUUCAGGGGUUGAGAAAAGCCACAAUAGUCGUCAAUGUUCAACAGGAGCUAAGGAGGGAUGGCUUUAACGGCUUGGAAAAAGUAGGGAACUCUCGUCUCUACAAUCUGCCCAGCACUGCAAAGCAAGAGGUCUCCCAGACUCUAAAAUGGGUCAGCAAACUUUUUCAGAAGGGGGCCGGACUAUAUUUUGGGAAAAAAGAAAAGAACAAAUUCCUAUGCCCCACAAAUAACCCAGAGAUGCAUUUUAAAUAAAAGCACACAUUCUACUCAUGUAAAAACACACUGAUUCCUGGACCAUCCGCGGGCUGGAUUGAGAAGGUGAUUGGGCCCGAUCUGACCCCCCGGCCUUAGUUUGCCUACCCAUGCUCUAAAACCUCACUGUCUCAGAGCAAAAUUGUUGUCAUUCACUACUGGUCUGUUUCCAGGUGCAAUUCAAAGUGCUGGUUAUGACUGAUAAAGCCCCAUGCAGUCCAAGCUAUCUGAAAGGCCACCUUCUUUCAUAUGAACCUUCCUGGGUGGUGAGAUCUUUGGGUGAUGCCCUUCUCUUGGUCAUGCCACCUUGGUGAGGAUGUUAGAGAGGGCUAUCUCAGUGGUGGCUGCUUCCAGACAACUUCAGAACUCCCUCCCUGGAGAAUUUAAGCUACCGUAUUUUUCGCUCUAUAAGACGCACCCGACCAUAAGACGCACCUAAUUUUAGAGGAGAACAACAACAAAAAUAUUCUCUCCCUCUCCGUGUAGAGCCUCUCCAGCAAAGCGGCAGGAGAAACGGAGCCCCUUCCAUAUCUCCUCCCGCUUCGCUGAAGGGGCGCUGCGCAGCUCUCCCUCUCUGCGCAGCGCCUCCCCAGCAAAGUGGGAGGAGAAAUGGAAGGGGCUCCGUUUCUCCUGCUGCUUCACUGAAGGGGCGAUGCACAGAGAGGGAAAGCUGCGCAGUGCCUCUCCAGCGAAGCGAAGUCAGAACAGCAAGAGGGAUCGCUGCGCAGCGAAAGCACUGAUCCCUCUCGCUCUCCUGGCUUCAGGGAUAGCUGCGCAAAGCCUCUUCAGGGCAGGGGGAGCGUUCCUGGCUUCAGGGAUAGCCGCGCAGCCUGCAUUUGCUCCAUAAGACGCACACACAUUUCCCCUUACUUUUUAGGAGGGGACAAGUGCGUCUUAUAGAGCGAAAAAUACGGUAGUUCUCUCCUUGAGUAUCUGUCAGGAUAUAAAGGCAGGAUAUAAAUUAACAAUAACAAAAAUAGUGUCAGCAUAUUGUGCCCACUUAAACACACUGGGCAAAGUGUUGCUGGUAGUGUUUCUUCUAGGAACUGAAAUGGUGUGCUUGUUUUAAUUUUGGGGUGAGAUACCUCAUCUUUGACAAAUGUGAGCUCAGGCAAACGAGGGCAUUCAGAGAAUUCAGGAGUAGGUGUAUUUGUGUCUGUACAGACUUCCUCAGCUGCAGAGGAGGGUCUGGAUCUCAAACAGAAUCGUCCUUAUUCUAUUUUGGAGAAGCAGUUGCGAAGUUGCUCCAGUCACAUAAACUUGGGCUCUUUUACCUCCAUUCAUUUCUUUUGAGGUUCUUAGCAGUAAGAAAAUGGGGUGAGAUACUAAUCGAAAUGUAUUUUACAUGCAAAAUUUCUCAUGAACUGCGUAACACCGUGUGGGUGUAACUUAAGUAAUGUCAAUGUGUUAGCAUGUGUGUCAUUUAAACCUCUUUUUAAGACUGCCAUAUUUUCUUCUUGAGAAUUUAAUAAUUAUUACAGGAUCGGUCCUAUGCACAAGAAACUGGCUUAAAGCAAGCUGGUGUAAGAGGACACCAAAUCCAAACUCUCUUCAACAGCCGGGUCACUGCUCUUCCUAAGCUAGGUCCUGUGAGGGACCCCCUCUCUUGUUCUGCCAAUGCCACACCCAAAGAACACCCUCUUUCAAAUUCCUUAUCUAACUCAUGGAAUGGGAGAAUAUCUACUCCACUCUUCCAAAAUUUUCAAAUUAGAGUUGGGGACGCGGGUGGUGCUGUGGUCUAAACCACUGAGCCUCUUGUGCUUGCCAAUUGGAAGGUCAGUGGUUCGAAUUCCUACGAUGGAGUGAGCUCCCGUUGCUCUGCCCCAGCUCCUGCUGGUGUUCUGUUGUGCCAGAAGUGGUUUAGUCCUGCUGGCCACAUGACCCAGGAAACUGUCUGUGGACAAACGCUGGCUCCUUCGGCCUGAAAGCAAGAUCAUAGAAUCAUAGAAUCAUAGAGUUGGAAGAGACCACAAGGGCCAUCGAGUCCAACCCCCUGCCAAGCAGGAAACACCAUCAGAGCACUCCUGACAUAUGGUUGUCAAGCCUCUGCUUAAAGAUGAGCGCCGCAACCUCAUAGUUGCCUUUGACUGGACUUAACUGUCCAGAGGUCCUUUACCUUUUUACCUUUGUGACCUCCUCUCUGAUACGAAAUCUGGGGAAGUCAGGAAACAGAACAGAUAAAGGCAUAACUUCAGUAGUAAGAUUCCAUGACCUUUGGUUAAAUUUGGGUCAGAAUCAAGGAUACAUAUAGGAGAAAAUAGGUGCAAGAUUUGGAUCAGAGAAGUACCAGGGAACUAGGGAGGGGGGACUUGUAAUUGUGUUUCUUAUAAAUGAAAUUCUUAUGAUGGUUUUUAACAUGUUUAAAAGGUUGGCAGAUAGAUACGUUUGUGUACAGAUGGAGAUAAAAUCUGAUUAUUAUCCUGUUGCUGGAUAGACAUUCCCCGCAUAUAAAUAAAUGCAUUGGAACUUCAGAAAGAAGUUUGUACAAUAAAUUCAGCAUAUGCGCAUGUAUGCAUAACUACCUUUCUGUGUGUGUCAGGUGUCAAUUUUGCUCCAAUUUAUUUUGCAGAUUGAAUGGCUGGCCUUUGUAGAACAAAUCUGACGUGUGCAGAACAAGGAGCGUUAACAAAAAGUUGCAAAAACAACAACCCAAAACCAUAAUGAAAUAAUGAAUGCUGCGAAGAAGGGGAAGGGUGAAGCAUAUGGUCAGAGUUCAUAGGAAAGGGUUGCCACAUUUUUAAUUUUUUUUUUACAGCAUGAGAUUUCAAGGUCUACAAAGCAUGUAUUUCCACUCCUGUCAGUGCAAUAACACUCUCCCUUCGUGGGGUUUCAAGCAAAUGGUAUUCAGAAACAUACUGCCCCCAACAGUAAAGGCAGAGGAAAGUGAUCAUAGCUUGUAAUCACUGAAAGCCUUAUCCUCAGCGAAUUUAUCCAAAGUUAGAGGUGAUCCAUGCUCCCGGCGGGAACAAACACCGGGGUUUCAUCAUCAUCAUCAUCAUCAUCAUCAUUUAUUUAUACCCCGCCCAUUUGGCUGAGUUUCCCCUGCCACUCUGGGCAGCUUCCAAUCAAGUGUUAAAAACAAUACAGCAUUAAAUAUUAAAAACUUCCCUGAACAGGGCUGCCUUCAGAUGUCUUUUAAAGAGAAGAUAGCUGCUUAUUUCCUUCACAUCUGAAGGGAGGGCGUUCCACAGGGCGGGCGCCACCACCAAGAAGGCCCUCUGCCUGGUUCCCUGUAACCUCACUUUUCGCAGUGAGGGAACUGCCAGAAGGCCCUCGGCGCUGGAUCUCAGUGUCCGGGCUGAAUGAUGGGGGUGGAGACUCUCCUUCAGAAAUACAGGACCGAGGCCAUUUAGGGCUUUAAAGGUCAGCACCAAAACUUUGAAUUGUGCUCGGAAACGUACUAGGAGCCAAUGCAGAUCUCUCAGGACCGGUUUUAUGUGGUCUCAGCGGCCACUCCCAGUCACCAGUCUAGCUGCCGCAUUCUGGAUUAAUUGCAGUUUCCGGGUCGCCUUCAAAGGUAGCUCCACGUAGUCAAAGCGGGAGAUAACCAGAGCAUGCACCACUCCGGCGAGACAGUCUGCAGGCAGGUGGGUCUCAGCUUGCGUACCAGGUGGAGCUGGUAAACAGCCCCCCUGGAUACAGAAUUAACCUGCGCCUCCAUGGACACCUGUGAGUCUAAAAUGACUCCCAGGCUGCGCACCUGGUCCUUCAGGGACUAUGUGCUUUGUGAAGAAGUGCAUUCUUUUAUCUGUUCCGAAUCUUCAAAAAUUCAGCUUCACUGGAUGCCCUCAAGUGUUAGGAACACGAUCGCCAAGUGUCCCUAUUUUCCAGGGACAGUCCUGAAUUUACGAAAGCUGUCCCAGUUUCUGAUUUGAUCCCGGAAUGUCCCACUCUUCCUUAGGACGUCCCUAUUUUCAUCAGAGAAAUGUUGGGGGGUAUGGAGUUAUGCGACCCUCCUCGUCCCGAGCCAAGGUGAUAAGUAACUUUAUAAUGUUUAGAAGACAUCUGAAGGCAGCCCUGUCUAGGGAAGUUUUCUAAUGUUUUAAUUAUGUUUUUAUAUAUUCUAGAAGCCUCCCAGAAUGGCUGGAGCAACUCAGUCAGAUGGGUGGUUGUUGUUAUUGUUGUUGAAUAAAGGUAAAGGUAAAGGGACCCCUGACCAUUAGGUCCAGGAGCGGCCAACUCUGGGGUUGCGGCGCUCAUCUCGCUUUAUUGGCCGAGGGAGCCGGCGUACAGCUUCCGGGUCAUGUGGGCAGCAUGACUUAAGCCGCUUCUGGCAAACCUGAGCAGCGCACGGAAACGCUGUUUACCUUCCCGCCGGAGCAGUACCUAUUUAUCUACUUGCACUUUGAUGUGCUUUUGAACUGCUAGGUUGGCAGGAGCAGGGACCGAGCAACGGGAGCUCACCCUGUCGUGGGGAUUCGAACUGCUGACCUUCUGCUCGGCAAGUCCUAGGCUCUGUGGUUUAACCCACAGUGCCACCCGUGUCCCGCAACAGAAAGGGGGGAUACCAUAAAAGGCGACAAUAUUUACCCAGUACUUUAAGUUAAAAAGAAUUCAGUAGCUUUCCAUAGAAUCAUAGAAUUGUAGAGUUGGAAGGGACCACAAGGAUCAUCUAUCCCAACCUCUUUAUGUCCGAUGUAGGACUCAAACCCACCACCCUGAAAUUAAGAGUCUCAUGCUCCAGCUUUGGAUGCUCAUGUUUUUAAAACACAUUAUUUCCUAAGCAUUAUCUUUCAAAUACAAAUGUGGGCAACCUUGCCUAACCCUCUCAGUAUUAUAUAUAUAUUAAUUGUGUGUGUUUAAUGUUUAAUUUGUUUUUUCUGGCAAAAGCUUCUUUUGCACGAACCAUCAGCUUGUAUUUUGAAGCUGCCUAGUCUGUUCGCCACCGUCUCCUUUGCAUCAAAGCCAACGCAAAUAAAAGACAAAUGGUUCAGGGAACAAAACGGUUAGCUAGAAUAUUCCGUUUCCACUCCUGGAGAUUUUUCAGUCCCACGGCAGAAUCGCUGCACCUUGACGGGAGCUAAACAGAAUGAAGCAAUGUCAAAAGGUAGACGGCUGUUUGAUAAACCAGUUUGGCUGCACCUCUCCGGUCAAUGUCUCCACCUUGCCUGCCUGCUCUUGUUUUGUUGAGAUUAGAAGAGGUGAGUUUGUGGGGAGUAUCCAGCAAACGAAGCUCUGCUGUUGACUUCUCCCCGCCCAGGACUCCUGUUACUGGCUGCAAAGAGGGAGUAUUCCAGAGCUGCAUUUCAUAGCUGUGAGGUCAGUCGGUUUUCUUGGUAGAGCAAAGACUGAACCUUGAAACAAAAACAGAAGCCGCGAAACUGCUACAUAAGCAAACAGUGAGGAAUGAGCAAGUCAGCAUUCCAUCGCAGGGGGAUAACCUGAAGCCAUUAAGCAAACAAAUAAAACAACAGAGAGCAGAAAAGCAGCGUGCUGACCUUGGUUUAUAUCUUUGCAGUCACUCUCUUCGUUUGUUGAACCGCCGAUGGAGCUGGAGAGGCCUAUCAUAUCUCCUCUUUUCCAGGCUAAACAUAUCCAGCUCCUUCAACCAUUCCUCAUACGGCUUGCUUUCCAGACCCUUGAUCAUCUUGGUUGCUCUCCUUUUCAAGAGACUGGUGUCAUUGGGAUAGGGAUGUUUGGAUACAAUGGCUUUUCAGGUUGGCUGAAAUCUGUUGGGGUGCCCAGAAUGGAACACAGUAUUCCAGGCAUGGUCAGACCAAGGCAGAAUAGAGCAGUACUAUGACUUCCCUUAAGGGACGUGGGUGGCGCUGUGGUCUAAACCACAGAGCCUAGGACUUGCUGAUCAGAAGGUCGGCGGUUCAAAUCCCCAUGACGGGGUGAGCUCCCAUUGCUUGGUCCCUGCUCCUGCCAACCUAGCAGAUCAAAAGCACGCUCAAAAGUGCAAGUAUAUAAAUAGGUACUGCUCCGGCGGGAAGGUAAACGGCGUUUCCGUGUGCUGCUCUGGUUCGCUGCUCUGUUGAAUGGUUUCUUUAAAUGUAAAGGUUCAUCACUGUUCCACCCGAUGUGUAUGUCUUUAAGGGGCCAGAGCAAGGGCCAGAGCAAGAUAACGAGACCCAGCUUUACAGCUGUGAAACAUAGCAGGUGCUGCUGAGUUGUAUUGAUUAAGCUGUGUUGGCAAUUGGGUGUAGUAUAUAAGGAGCAGCACCUAGCUCUCCCAUUACCCUGGGGGAUGGGUUGGUGGUUGGGUCAUGUUUGUUUGUUAAUGUAUUUAGUGUAAAAGGAGUUUUUGUUUUUGUAAUUAAAACCUUGUUUAAGUUAUUUUUGAGUCCCUUUUUAAUGCAUGGUCUCCCCAGCAAGCUCUCUGCAGCGCUACUAUACUGCAAAUAGCCAACAGCUUAGUUAUGCUGUCCACAUCACCUGAAAGCUGUACGCCGGCUCCCUCAGCCAGUAAAGCGAGAUGAGCGCCGCAACCCCAGAGUCGUCUGCGACUGAACCUAAUGGUCAAGGGUCCCUUUGUUGUUGUUUAGUCAUUUAGUCUUGUCCAACUCUUCGUGACCCCAUGGACCAGAGCAUGCCAGGCACUCCUGUCUUCCACUGCCUCCCGCAGUUUGGUCAAGCUCAUGCUGGUAGCUUCGAGAACACUAUCCAACCAUCUCAUCCUCUGUUGUCCCCUUCUCCUUGUGCCCUCCAUCUUUCCCAACAUCAGGCUCUUUUCCAGGGAGUCUUCUCAUGAGGGGGCCAAAGUAUUGGAGUCUCAGCUUCAGGAUCUGUGAGCACUCAGGGCUGAUUUCCUUCAGAAUGGAUAGGUUUGAUCUUCUUGCAGUCCAUGGGACUCUCAAGAGUCUCCUCCAGCACCAUAAUUCAAAAGCAUCAAUUCAGCCUUCUUUAUGAAGAAGAAGAAGAAGAAGAAGAAGAAGAAGAAGAAGAGUUUGGAUUUGAUAUCCCGCCUUUCACUCCCUUUAAGGAGUCUCAAAGCGGCUAACAUUCUCCUUUCCCUUCCUCCCCCACAACAAACACUCUGUGAGGUGAGUGGGGCUGAGAGACUUCAAAGAAGUAUGACUGGCCCAAGGUCACCCAGCAGCUGCAUGUGGAGGAGCGGAGAAGCGAACCCGGUUCCCCAGAUUACGAGACUACCGCUCUUAACCACUACACCACACUGGCUCUCGCUCUCACUUCCAUACAGCACUACUGGGAAAACCAUAGCUUUAACUAUAUGGACCUUUGUUGGCAAGGUGAUGUCUCUGCUUUUUAAGAUGCUGUUUAGGUCUGUCCUUGCUUUUCUCCCAAGAAGUAGGCGUCUUUUAAUUUUGCGGCUGCUGUCACCAUCUGCAGUGGUCACGGACCCCAAGAAAGUAAAAUCUCUGACUGCCUCCAUUUCUUCCCCUUCUAUUUGCCAGGAGGUGAUGGGACCAGUGGCCAGGGGUCCCUUUACCUUUACCUUUAUGACUUCUCUUGAUCGGGACACUAGACUUCUGUUGAUGCAGCCUAGAAUAGCUUGUGGUCUACUAAAAUCCCUAGGUCUUUUUCACAUGUGCUACUGGUAAGCUAGGUGUCCCCCCAUCUGAUAUUUCUGCCGCUGGUUCUUCCUGCCUAAGUGCAGAACCUUACAUUUGUCCCUAUUGAAUUUUUGCUAGUUUGGGCCCAGUUCCAGAGUGGCUAGGGAAACCCAGCCAGAUGGGCGGGGUAUAAAUGAUAAAAUAUUAUUAUUAUUACUAUUAUUAUUAUUAUUAUUAUUAUUAUUAUUAUUAUUAUCAUCUUGAAUCCUGGUUCUGUCUUCUGCGGCAUUUGCUACCAUUCCCAGUUUGGUGUCACCUUCCAAUUGGAACCCCUCAAUUCCUUCAUCCAUAUCGUUUAUAAAGACGCUGAAGAACAAAGUGUGUUCUCCUUCAUGGAGAGCACAUGUUGCGGUGGGGGCUAACAAGACACUCACUGUUGCUGGGCGGGGAAAGAAUUGGCCACCAUUUCAUUGAAUUUGCUGUUGCUGGGGAGAUUUAAAUGUUGCCAUUUCGUGAUUGACAGCCAUAGCCUUUAAACACCCUGCUUGCAGCGUUGAGCUUCCUCUUUUUGCUGUGCGCACUGGAUCACCCUCCCUCCCUAUUUUCUGGUUGCUCGCUUGACCUUGCUAUGCCUGUCAUGGGGUCGUCUGCUUUGGGGCAGGGGCCUGGGAGGAAUUUUGUCCAAUUGGCUGAUUGCCUGGUGCCAUUUGGUUUUUGCCUACUGCGUAGCAAAUCGUCACAACUUGUAAGGUUGCGGUUAGGCAUUGGGUUAGGAGUUGGUUGGUGGAGGGGUAUGGAUUGGCUGUGCCUGCCCCUCCAAAAGUGCUGCUGCUGCAAGGGUUUUCCGUUAAAGGAACCCAGGGGCUUUUGUCCGAACCCCUGUCAAGGAACGCCAUGCUUUUGUCCGAACCCCUGUCAAGGGGCUAGGGCCACACAAGAGCCCCUGGGAGCAUUUGGGGAGAGGUGAGGCAUGGUUCCCAGUCCUGUCCGGGCGAAUGUCAGUCUGUCCCCAUGCGGGGUCAGAUAGUCGCAACCAAUGCCUAAGCAACCACUCACAUCACUUGUAAUUUCAAUAAAUUAUGCCCAAAACCUUAAAGCUAAAAUCUUGUGUCAACUGUGUUUUAUUGGGGGUGUCUUGGGGACCUCGACAUGCAACAGGUCUAGGACCGAACCCCAGAGAGCCCCACAUGUCACUUUUUUCCAGGAUGACGGGGAACCGUUAGGAAUGGGAGUCAUACAUGGCCUGGAGGAAUGACUGCAGAAAAUGGCGAAUAGUCAAGAAACAUAAUCUUAGGUUUAUUAUGAUUAAUGAGUGAUUGAUGGACUCUGUAAAUCCCCACCCCCAGAAAAGAAAGUAAUGCAGCAUAGAAUAGGUAGCAGAAUAGCACUUUUAAAUUAAGGAGGAACAGAGGGGGAGGGGAGGGUUUGAGGAACUUUCCAGUGUAUUUUCAAAUCCUGCCAGUACAAAGAAGGAUCUGUGAUUCUAGUUCAGCUAAGGAGACUGAAACACAUUAUGUCUCUACACAAAUUACAGCAUUUUAGCUGUGGUUGGUAAGAUUUGACUUCGGAUUCUGUACAAAAGCCAUGACCUAAAACCCACCCCGUAAACACAGUGGUCAGCAGAAGACUGUGUCAAGCUUUGCUUGCGUGACCACAGAUGCAAUUUAUGGAAACCCUAUGGAAGGAGCUAUAUUUAGUGUUUUGAAGGCGGCUCAGUUUUUGCACUCUACCCAACACACAGUGUUCUUGAUGACAGUAUUGGUGCUCCCCUGGCUAAAUUAUUAGAGCCGAUUCACCGCAGCCCAAAGCAGGUCCACAUGAUUCAUCCCACCUGUCCCCAGGGAUAAUUCACACUCGCCUUUUGCCUCACUUUUUCUUUCUUCUUUUUAAUAAAUUGUAUUAAGAAAAAUACAACGCGGGUGGCGCUGUGGGUUGAACCACAGAGCCUAGGACUUGCCAAUCAGAAGGUUGGCGGUUCGAAUCCCCGCGACAGGGUGAGCUCCUCUUGCUUAGUCCCUGCUCCUGCCAACCUAGCAGUUCGAAAGCACGUCAAAGUGCAAGUAGAUAAAUAGGUACCACCCUGGCGGGAAAGUAAACGGCGUUUCCGUGCGCUGCUCUGGUUUGCCAGAAGCGGCUUAGUCAUGCUGGCCACAUGACCCGGAAGCUGUACGCCAGCUCCCUCGGCCAAUAAAGCGAGAUGAUCGCCGCAACCCCAGAGUCGGUCAUGACUGGACCUAAUGGUCAGGGGUCCCUUUACCUUUAUUAAGAAAAAUGCAAAAGUUAUGGAAAACACAAGAAUUACCAAUGGCAGAAGAAUGGCAGAUGAAGAUGAUGGAGUUUAUGGAGCUCGCUGAUCUCACUGGGAGAAUCCAUGAUCAGAAAGAAGAGGAACACCAAGAAGACUGGAAGAAAUUUAAAGACCAUUUGAAUAAAUAUUGUAAUAUUAAAGAUAUGUAACCACUUGAAAGAAUCAAUUAGGCCUAGGAUUAAAUUGGGAUUAAAUAAAUAAAUAAGAAAAUGCACAAUAAGAAAAGUUAGUAAAUAUGAUUAUGACUGUGAUAGGGUUUUAUGAAAUAAUGAUAUUGGAAACUGCUAUAUAUAAUUAUUAAGAAAUUCAGAUGGAGGAGACUAGAGGAAGUCAAGUAAUAUGUUUAUGAAGAUGGAUUUUAAUUAAUUAAGUUUUAAUUUUUAUGUGGUGAUUUGAUGUAUUUUAUAUUUUAUACUAGGGACGCGGGUGGCGCUGUGGGUAAAACCUCAGUGCCUAGGACUUGCUGAUUGUAAGGUUGGCGGUUCGAAUCCCAGUGGCGGGGUGAGCUCCCGUCGUUCGGUCCCAGCUCCUGCUCAUCUAGCAGUUUGAAAGCACCCCUAAGUGCAAGUAGAUAAAUAGGUACCGCUUUACAGCGGGAAGGUAAACGGCGUUUCCGUGUGCUGCACUGGUGCUGGCUCGCCAGAGCAGCUUCGUCACGCUGGCUACGUGACCCGGAAGUGUCUUCGGAGGGCGCCGGCUCCCGGCCUCUUGAGCGAGAUGAGCGUGCAACCCUAGAGUCGGACACGACUGGCCCGUACGGGCAGGGGUACCGUUACCUUUAUGUUUUAUACUCUUUUUUUUCCCCGUUUUAUUCUUUUUCUUUCACUAUUGUUAAUUCUUUUUUUUUUUUUUGGUUAUGUUUAUGUAUGAAAAAAUAAUAAAUAUUAUUGUGGGGGGGGGAGAAAAAUACAAAAGUUGUUCAAUAAUUUUGCAAGAUCCUCUGUCUCCUUGGUGGCGAUACUAGAAAGCACGAGUUGGAUCUUGAAGGACAUUUCUGCAAAAUUCAGGCAAGCACAAAUGUUUGCAAAAGUAAGGCUUGCCAACGUCAAACGUUUUGAGGUGCCUUUCUGUUUGAACUUUCUUGCUUGCUUCAGAGAACACUCCUGCCAACAGCCCUCCUCCUCUUCCUCCUCCUCCUCCUCUGCAGAGAGUACAUAUACCUGGGUCUUUAACCUCCUUGUCAUCAGCCAGACUAAGAUCAACAGAAGUGUAAGACUCUGAUGAGACUAUUUGCUCAUGUAGUUCAAACAAACAGGGAUGAUGUAAAAGCAAGAGAAAACCAGGCACCCCGCAGAUCUUUUUCUGGAAAUUGAAAACAAACUACCAGACACAUGAUGCAGCCAAGAGAGGGUGAAGCUUUAGUACUACCAAAAAGAAAAUGGAGAAAAACACCAGCAGAGACCAAGCAAUUUGCAUUGCUGAAUGUGAAAACGUUGCAGUUGGCGGAUCACCUAUGUCAUUUUCUUUCUUUACACUUCUACACCACUUAAAAUAGAAAAGCAUCUCCAAGCAGCAUACAGAAAACUGAAGCAAAUCCGCUCCACUUCCCAGUGGGGAGGAGUUGCGGUGGACCGCGUGGCCACCCACUCCCCACCGGGGGCGGGGGACUCUGUCCCCCGUUGCCUGGGGGAUCCUGGCCAUGUCAGAGCCCGGCCAGCCAACCCGCUGGCCGGGGCCAUUUAAACGGAGGAGCGAGCCAGAGGACUUCCUCUUUGGCUCGCUUCCUCAAUCACCCGCCCUCCCUCCCUAUUUUGCAGGUUAGGCAAUGGCCUUGCUAUGGACUUUGGUUGGUCGCCUUGGUUGUCCGAGGGGCCUGGUAGGAAUUUUUCCACUUGGCAAAUUGGCACUGGCCACUUGGUUUUCGCCUACCUCGUAGCAAUCAUCACAACUUUGUUAGGGUUGCGGUUAGGCAUUGUUUGACCUUGUGUGGGGGAGGGGAGGUGUGGCCAUCACCUGCCCCUCCUUGCUUAAGGGUAUUCCGUUAAAGGAAUCCGGGGGUGUUGAUCUAGUCUGAAGCCCAUCUGGGGGGCUAGGGCCUUGACACGACCCCGAUGGGAACACCAGGGGGAGCUUGAGUUGAUUCGCAUCGACAGGGCUCCCCCUACCAGUGGCUUACCCUUACUGGACUUCCUGCACAAUGGGCAGGAGUCAGAUAUAGUCAGGUCCAAUCAAUGCCUAAGCCAAUACUACUCACAUUCUGUAAUUUCAAUAAAGUUGUGGCCAAAAUUUGCCCAAUAACAUAAACCUAAUAUCCGUGUCCUUGUGUUUCCAACGAGGGGGUGGCUGCGGGGUCUCAACACGCAACUGCGGGCAACUCAAACGACAAGUAUUACAAAAAUACAAACCAAAUUGUCACAUGAGUAUAACGUUACUAAUAAAUAUAAACCAGUAUCAAUUCAUUUUCCUUCUGACACAGGUUGUGCCUUAUCCCUUAUAUUUCCAGUAAAUCACUGCGGUAUGUGGGAGAGCUUCUCCUGCAAGCUGCAGGGAUCACAGAAGCCCUCUCUGUAGAAACUUGGAGCAAAGAUUUCAGGGUGGCUCCCCCAGUUUGGCAGAAUAGCAUUCCAGUUGAGAUGCAGCAGUUGAGAUGCCCACUAGCUGCCAGAUUAAUCCUGCCCGUUACAUGUCAGCUCAGCAAACGUUUUACAGUGACCUAAAUACUAUUUGGAAGUAGACACUGAGAAGCCUCAUGUCUAUUGCUAUAAGAAAAUCUAUUUCAAAUAUAUGAGUUGCUUUCAGCUAACUUUUACGCAGUGUACACCCACUGAAAUUAAUUAUGACGUGUAAGUUGGCAGGGGAUAUUAAAACAACAUUUCAAGAUGUUCGACAACAGAAACAGAACAAUAAUAAAUUCAUUACGAAAGCAGUAAGAGUAGACAAGUGGAAAGUCCUUGUAAAUAAGAAGUCAUAAUUCUCUGGUGGGAAGUUUUCGUGACUAAUGGUUUUCCCAAGCAGACUAUUCCAUUGCAGAAAGCCACAAGACAGAAGACCCUUCAGCUGACUGCCUUUAAUUCAAAGAAAGGACACAGAGGUGUCCUAACAUCUACCUGUAAACAAUAUAAUUUCAGCGUUGGUGGGGGAAUGCGGGCGAGGCCAAUUACAGCAGUGAAACUCAGUUCUUUUUGCAUAAACCCACCUCUCAUGCUCAAACUAACACUUGUCUGAGAAGGGUGGGUCUGUAACAUUCGAGGCCUUUCUCUCACGGUCUCCCUUCUUUCUCAAUAAAGAUCUGGAAAACCAUUCCAUUUUAUAUAUAAGCAGUCAGCCUCUGAAAAAAGACAAAUCAGCCCCGUCCGUGUGAAUUCCAAUAGCUUUCUGAUGGUUCAAAUCCAAAUUUCACAGCUAUUCAAGAGUUCUUUUGUGUAGCCAGUCCUUGUCUCGGUGUUUAGCACAACUCAAUCCAUUUUCCCUGGCUCCCUCCCUCCACCGUCUUCAUUUACAUUUCUAGGGAGAUGAGAAAGAGGAAAAAAAGCUUGCUGCUUCUCUUCCUGGGGGGCCUUGAACUGGUGUGCUCUAGCCAAGGCUCCUAUUGUCCUUGUUGCUCUAACUGCAGGCUCCCUCUACUAUAGGACUACUCAAUUGGAAUUUAAAUACUCCAGGACUGUUGUCUCAGAGAAUAGGGAAGCGCUGCAUUAAAGAGUAAAUUACAGCAGAGAAGUAACCGGCUUACACAAAAUGGACAGGCAGACAAGCACAUUAUAAGAUUUCCAAAGAUUCUUCCAGGUUUGGAAUGAUACCACAACAAAAAAUAACCCUUAACUACAUAGAUUCUGUUCAGCACCCACAGUUUUGAUCUUGGCUAAUAAAGAACAGAAAAGGAAACUUGUUGGGAGAAGAAGGUCAAACAAGAGAGAACAGUUUGAGAUAUCGAUUUCUUUUUGUGUAGCACCCCCUUAGCUAAAAAAACAAAGUUGUCGCAAGUUCUUCAGAAUGUCCCAUUGAUAGUAUUUCCUUCUACUGAUAUUUCCCAAUAAUGUGCUCUUUUUGAGACUGAAGCAACUUCUGUAUCAGUGCGUUCUUGUGGUUUUCGAUCUGUAUUUGUGGGAGCAGCCUUAUUUAAAAUGGAGCCCGACAACGCCUUGCAGGCCUGGGUGAAUACAAGGCUCUUAAACAUCAGUCCUUACUUUGAAUUCCAUCGCUUGGCCUGGCUUGUCUCACAACCUUUUAACAUGCAUUGAAAGUAGCUUAUUAUCGAGAAAGAAAAGAGCUUCGCUCUUCAGAAACUGCCUUCAGAAACUGACACACAGUCAAUUCCUGGAAGGGAAAUUUUUCAAAUACAUUUAAAAACAGUCAAGCAAAUCCAGGCUAUGCUUCUGCCUCUUUAUAAGAACAAAAUGUGCCAGUUUUGAUUUCCUGCAGCUCAGUUUGCCCACAAUGAAGAAGAAUGGCUCCAGCACUGGCACCACAUGCUAUUAUUCUGAAACUUGUGGAAUGGAGGGCUUUCUUCCCAAACCCCGCUGCCUUGAUUUGAUUAACACACAAGUAUCUCUACCAUCAAAAUUAUUCUUCAUUAUUAGAAUAAAUAAAUAAUUGCACUCAUUAGGUUUUAUUCCUGCUGGAAAAUGCAGAUAACCUGUGGGCAUCCCAGACAGAUUUGUUUUGGCUUGUAUUUUUUAUAUCUUGUUUUCCACAAAACAAGGCUUGUGUAUUCUGAAUGCUGCAAGCCUCAACAGUACCUUGUGGCGGUGUUCUACAUACUUCUUCCUAAAACAGUCGUUUGAUUCACUUGCCAUUAUUUAGGAACUAAUUUUUUUUUUAAAAAAAUACUGUACUCUUAAAUAUAUUUGGAAGGGAAAAGGCUGCUACUCAAGCCAUUUGCGCUACUCUUGGCCCCAAGAACAUUGGCAGCUGAAAUCUUCAUAUAUAUAUAAUUUUUUAUUGAUUUUAACAUAUAAAUUAUAAAAUGUACCACAAAACUUAUCACUCAUACAAUCUUUUUAGACUUCCGUCAGCACCUCUGAUGAUCCACCGUUUUAACCAUUUCUUAGGCAUUUCUUAACUUUGUAUUGCCUUUAAAUCUUUUAACAAAUCAUCCUUCCCCUUAUCCAUUUUUUGCACUAAUUCCAAUAAUACUCCUCACAAAACUUCUUGCAACCCUACAAACGUCGUCUGUUCUUCACAAUUACUUUUCAAAUAGUCCGUAAAUUUACUCCAGUCUUCCGUGAAUUUCUGGUCCCGCCGGUUCCGAAUCCUUCCUGUUAGUUUAUCUAGUUCUGCAUAGUCCAUUAACUUCAUCCUCCAUUCUUCAAUCGUCGGUAAUUCUUCUUGCUUCCAUUUCUGGGCCAGUAAUAUUCUUGCUGCUGUUGCUGCAUAUAAAAAGAGCUUACAUUCCUUUCUAUUUAUACCACUCCCAACAAUGCCCAGUAAAAAUGCUUCUGAAAUCUUCUGUUGGGGUGGGGAGUGACACUGGCCUUUGGCCUUCAGAUUUGGGGGACAGCAGGAGUCUUCUCAAUGCAUCAGAAUCAAAACAGCAGCUGCCGUGUAUCACCUCUCUGCCACAGUGCACAUUCUGUUCCUUUUCUGCAACCCCAGUGGGAAGAGAAUCUUAGACAGUAGGAAAACUAAGGGCCAAAAUAGACAUGAUGGCAGCAGGUACAUCACAGCGAAAGAGGAGAGUGCGGGUGUCAGAUCUUACUAGUAAGAGGCGGGCAAGGAGCACUCCCAAUACCAUAUUUUUUGCUCUAUAAGACUCACUUUUUCCCUCCUAAAAAGUAAGGGGAAAUGUGUGUACGUCUUAUGGAGCGAAUGCAGGCUGCGCAGCUAUUCCAGAAGCCAGAACAGCAAGAGGGAUUGCUGCUUUCACUGUGCAGAGAUCCCUCUUGCUGUUCUGGCUUCUGAGAUUCAGAAUUUUUUUUUUCUUGUUUUCCUCCUCCAAAAACUAGGUGCGUCUUGUGGUCUGGUGCGUCUUAUAGAGUGAAAAAUACGGUACUUACUGGCGGAGGAAGCGGAGGGCGGGGAGAGCGCACCGCCCCUGGGACCACAAUCCUGGUGGGGAGGCAUCACGGCUGCCCCCCCCUGCGCUGGGCACCACGCCCCCACAGGUGGCGCACCACGCCCCCGGCACGCACACCAGCCACGCCACGCCUGCUCUUAGUACUACUGCUACUAAUUAAUUGAUUGAUUAAUUAAACCCUGCCCAUCUGGCUGGGUUUCCCUUGCCACUCUCGGCGGCUCCCAACAGAAUAUUAAAAACACGAUAAAAUAUCAAACAUUAGAAAAUUCCCUAGACAGGGCUGCCUUCAGAUGUCUUCUAAAAGUCAGAUAGUUGUUUAUUUCCUUGACAUCUGGUGGGAGGGCGUUCCACAGGGCGGGCACCACCACCGAGAAGUCCCUCUGCCUGGUUCCCUGUAACUUGGCUACUCGCAGUGAGGGAACAGCCAGAAGGCCCUCAGAGCUGAACGAUGGGGGUGGAGAUGCUCUUUCAGGUAUACUGGGCUGAGGCCGUUUAGGGCUUCAAAGGUCCUAAACACACACAAACACACACACACACACACACACACACACACACACACACAGAGAGAGAGAGAGAGACAGACAGAAGUCUUCAAAUGAUUUGACCCUUCACCACCUUUUCUGCUUGUCUUCUUAUAAUUUUCAGACUUGCAGACGUUCAUGGAGAAAUCUAGAAGAAUGUGAUCCAUUCCCUAAACUUAAGCCAGGACAGACAAAGAGCUUGGGAGUGAUUAGAGAAAGCAUGUUCUUAGCCAUUUCAUAUGGGCAAGACAAUUAGCUCAUUCUCUGCCACUUACUUAGAGAGAUUGAUUAUCAAGAUGAUUUUUCUUUUCUUGCUAGAAUGCCAAAGUCUAUUUUCCUAGAGCAAAAGCAUUAUUAACCACAAAAAGAAUUUUGUGUUGCAUAAUGAGCACAGGGAAGCAAUUUUACCUAAGAUAAUGAACACCUGAGAUAAGGAAGCAAUUCUCUGACAGGUGGCAGUUGACAUAAGUCUAUAUUUCAGUCAACUUUAUGUUAGGCUUUAGAUGUGCCUGGAAUUUAAAUGUAAUGUUUUGGUAAACAUUUCAUAGAAUCAUAGAAUUGUAGAGCUGGAAGCAGGGCUAAAUUGCUAGAAAAAGAGGUGUCAGAACUCAUCAUGAACUCCUCCCUUGUUCUCUUAUACAGUGGUACCUCUGGAUGUGAACGGGAUCCAUUCCGGAGCCCUGCUCGCAUCCAGAAGCGAAUGCAACCCGCGCCCCCACUUCUGCGCGUAUGCGGUUCGUGAUUUGCCGCUUCCGUGCAUGCGUGUAACGUCAUUUUGACCGUCUGCACAUGUGCGAGCGGUGACACCCGGAAGUAACGUGCUCCGUUACUUCUGGGUCGCCGCAGCGCGCAUGUUAUGUACUGAGUUGAAUAGGAUCCAAAAUGCAGCAGUCUGAUUGGUCCUAGAACAAUAGGAUUCAGAAUGCAGCAGUCUGAUUGGUCCUAGAACAAUGCAGCAGUAUGAUUGGUCCACAGGAGCCACCCAAUCCAGCUCCAGAUGGAAGUGAAUCCACAACCUGAUUGGCCUACAGGAGAAUCCCGGAAUUAGCCAAUCACAUGCAGCCCAUUAUGUAAAUAAUGUAUAUAAAGCAGAUACUUUGAGGGGACUUUCAUUCCUCCUAACCACUAUGAGCUGAAUAUAAAGCAUGAAAUCCACUCUCGACUCUGAGUAUAUUUCAGUUUACUUACUAAAUGGGCUGCGAGGAGGGCAUCUGUUUGUAUUUUCAGCGCAACCUGAAAAUACUUAUCCCGAAGCUACUUCAAGCCGAGGUAUGACUGUAAUGGCAAUGGUGCCCAGUUGAGAGGUGCCAGAACUGAGUUCUAGCAAAUUUCAGCUGAAAAAAAGCCCUUUUUGGCCCACUGAGGGCCAUUUGGUCCAACCAUCUGCAAUGCAGGAAUCUCAACAACCAGUUUAUGCCUUUGUAGCAACAUUCUCCCUGAUUCAGCAAGGGAGGUUUGCAUGUAGAAACUGCUUCCAUAAACAGAUUAUUCAUUUGGACCAGGAGCCCCACAUGUAGUUCAGAUCUGAUGGUCAGGCCAUUCAUGGAGGUACACACUGGUCCCCAAGCGAGCAGGGGGCAAUAGACUCUCAGCUUUUAUUUUAAAAAGGCGGGUCAACUGGACAUUUAUGAAGAAAGUUAGAAAACAAAAUGUGUAGGCAGUGUGUUUUAGGGCAGAAACGAGAAGCUGCUGUUCCUAAGGAUACUUAAUCACUUAAUCAGUUUUGCUAAGCAAGCAGAGCCUUCUUUAUGGUCUGAUCGCCGAAGAAUUGAUGCUUUUGAAUUCUAGUGCUGGAGGAGACUCUUGAGAGUCACAUGGACUGCAAGAAGAUCAAACAUGUCCAUUCUGAAGGAAAUCAGCCCUGAGUGCUCACUGGAAGGACAGAUCCUGAAGCUGAGACUCCAAUAGUUUGGCCACCUCAGGAGAAGAGAAGACUCCCGGGAAAAGACCCUGAUGUUGGGAAAGAUGGAGGGCACAGGGAGACAGGGAUGACAGAGGACGAGAUGGUUGGACAGUGUUCUCGAAGCUACCAGCAUGAGUUUGACCAAACUGCGGGAGGCAGUGGAAGACAGAAGUGCCUGGCGUGCUCUGGUCCAUGGGGUCCCAAAGAGUCGGACACGACUAAACGACUAAACAACAACAAAGCAAUCAGAGAAAGGAAUGCUGAUCACCCCCACCUAGAACUCAGGAGUGGCAGCAGGAAAAAACAAGCAGAAGUAGCUCAUUGUUUGUGUUAUUCCCAGACACUGUCAUCUGACCCAUGCUAACUAUACUCCAUACAUUGUCAUUAUUACCCUACUUUGAUAGAGGCAGAUUCAAUUUCAUAAGCAUGGACAUAUUUUUGAUAUUUUUGGAGAAGUAUUUAUCCUUGCUGUCCAAGUAUGGACGUCUGAAAGCCAUCUGAGCCCUGGUGACUUUCCCAUUGAUACCAUAAUCACGUUGAGGUUUAGAAUAUCUGUGGUAAAUGUUUUUGGCUGUACUACUGGUGCUGUAAUAAGAUCCUAGCUUUGGAAUAGGGCAACCUUUAGCGAAACAGCUUUGGCAGAAAUAUCCCGAGGAAUUUUAGUGGCUGAAAACUGGUAGAAAACAUGGCUAAGGUGAACCAAUAAUAUCCAGGAAAAACAACCAUAAAUUAUGACAGGGGAUGGGAUGGGUUGGUUUUCCUUCCUCCAUUUGAAAUAACUGCAACGAGAGAGAAAAUAUUCUGCUGUUUCAGAGAACAAAUAAGGUUAUACUGGCUGUUCGCAUUGGUACAAUUCUUCCAUCAGAUUAAGUAUUUCUGCUUGUCCGAUAGCAUGAUCUCUGCUCAUCCCCAUGCAGUGUUCUGGGGCUUCUAUGCUCAAGCAAAUUUGUGUGGCACCCAGGGAAGGAGUGGAGUACCGUAUUUUUCGCUCUAUAGGACACACCUUUUCCCUCCUAAAAAGCAAGGGAAUACCCCCGCCUCCUAGAAAAGCCAGCAGAAGCCACGCAGCCCCUUUAAAGAGCGCACGGCUUCUGUGGGAGGUGGGCGAAUUCCCCCACCUCGUAGAAAAGCCCGCAGGAGCCGCACACCCUUUAAAGAGUGCGCUGCUCUUGGGGACUUUUCCCCGAGGAGGGACAAGGGACUGACUGGCCGCGUCAGUCCUUUCUCCCUCCUUGUAGAAAAGCCUGCAGGAGCUGUGUGCUCCUUAAAGGGUGCGUGGCUCCUGUGGGCUUUUGCGGGAGAUAAGGGAAUUCCCCCACCUCCUGCAAAAGCAGGGAGAAGGUCUGGGAGAAGCGCACAGUCUGCCUGCAGCCUGUCCGCUGCUCCCAGAGCUGGGGUGGGGAUCAUAUUCCCCCCCCCCCUCUGAAAACUAGGUGUGCCCUAUGGUCAGGUGCGCCCUAUGGAGCGAAAAAUACGGUAUAUGCUACUGGGACUCAUUGCACUGGCUUCUGCUAGCACAACUGUUUCAUUGAAUCCAGCCCUACCUCACAAGCAUUACCUGCCUCACAGAGUAUCAGGCUGCACACAGGCAUUCUAAUGUGCUAAGGAAAGGGAAAUAGACAAAACACCAACAUUCUUUCGAGAAACACAAAGAGAGGUUUAAACCCAAAUCCAAUUGCCAGAAAUUAAGGACAUGGAUAUGUUGACAUAUUGAUGUUGCUACACUCUCACUUUUUAGGACUGGAAGAGAUUUUCUGCCUGAAACCCUGGGGAGUUACUGUUGAUCAGGGCAGACAGGGCUGAGCUGGAUAAUGUUACUAGACAUAGGGCACCUUACUGUGUUAUGAUGGCUAUUUGCUGUGCUUUGUACACAGGGGGACACAUACAGUGGUGCCCCGCAAGACGAAUGCCUCGCAAGACGAAAAACGCGCAAGAUGAAAGAGUUUUCCGUUUUUUGAGUCGUUCCGCAAGACGAAUUUCCCUAUGGGCUUGCUUCGCAAGACGAAACCUCUUGCAAGUUCUUGCGAGUUUGUUUCCUUUUUCUUAAAGCCGCUAAGCCGCUAAGCCGUUAAUAGCCGUUAAUAGCCGCUAAGCCGCUAAGCUGCUAAUAGCCGUGCUUCGCAAGACGAAAAAACCGCAAGACGAAGAGACUCGCGGAACGGAUUAAUUUCGUCUUGCGAGGCACCACUGUACCCCUAAACAUUUUGGGAAUCUUUGUACUUUUGUCCAUUUAAUGUAUUUAUUUUCCCCGAUUUGAACUACAAAAUGGUGAUUUUCUCGAGUCAAAAUGAGAGUACAGUGGUACCUUGGGUUACAUACGCUUCAGGUUACAUACGCUUCAGGUUACACACUCCGCUAACCCAGAAAUAGUACCUCGGGUUAAGAACUUUGCUUCAGGAUAAGAACAGAAAUUGUGCUCCGGCGGUGCGGCAGCAGCAGGAGGCCCCAUUAGCUAAAGUGGGGCUUCAGGUUAAGAACAGUUUCAGGUUAAGAACAGACCUCCAGAAUGAAUUAAGUACUUAACCUGAGGUAACACUGUACCCCAAACAUUUCUCCCCCUGAAAAAAAAGCACUGGCUAUUUGUGUCUGGAGACAUGAGGCAGAAUACAGUGGUACCUCGGGUUAAGAACUUAAUUCGUUCUGGAGGUCCGUUCUUAACCUGAAACUGUUCUUAACGUGAGGUACCACUUUAGCUAAUGGGGCCUCCCGCCGCCGCUGUGCGAUUUCUGUUCUCAUCCUGAAGCAAAGUUCUUAACUCAAGGUACAAUUUCUGGGUUAGCGGAGUCUGUAACCUGAAGCAUCUGUAACCUGAAGCAUCUGUAACCCGAGGUGCCACUGUACUUAGAAGGCAGCCUUACCCAACCUGCUUUGGAUUACAAGUCCCAUCAGACCCAGGCAGUAUGGCCAAUGGUACGAAAUUAUGGGACUUGUAGUCCAACAACAUCAUUAGGGCACCAGGUUAGGAAGGCUGCUAUAAGGUUUCUGAAAAGCAAGCGAUGGUAAUCCUCUCUUCCAAUAUUGGUUCUGAAGCCAGUCUGUUUGUGCCACCUGUUUUGUUGUUGUUGUUGUUGUUUUACUACAAUUACCACCACCACAUUUAUUCUUUGUGCACUCAGCAUUCUCUAGACCUGAAGGCCGGUGUGAUGCUAUCUCAGAUAUGUGUUCUUUGUCUGGAGUUUAACAAUAUAUUUGGCAGUGCUGGCAGAGAAUAAUUUUUUAUUUGUGAACAUCAAUAUUUGAUUAACUUCAUGAGUAAGAAAUGUUGGAGUAGAAGUUUUUGAUUCGGUUUUCUGAUAACCAACCAGCCACAAGACACACACACACACACACACACACACACACACACCCCACACACUCCAACACCCUCUAAUUCAUAGACAACACACCAUCUUCUAAUUGCAAUGAUCUCCACAAAACUAUAGAUGGGAUCAACAGUAAUUCUCAGGAAGUUUCACUGCCGGAUGGCUUGCAUCCCAGUGGAAAAUACGAGGCCGCAGAUUUGCAGGGUUAAUCCCUAUUCCGGUUUCAAUUGGAGUUCAAAUAGCUGAACAGAAGAAGCUAAAAGUCAGAGAAUAAUCGUGAUGACAGGCACAUCCAUUCUUUCAUGACAGGAAAAGUCAAGAGAGCUUAGGGCUUCAUAUAUUCUCUCUAGCUAUUGUAGUCUUGUCAUAUCCUGCCGGAGCAUUUUAAUAAUGGUGGUCAGCAGUUUCAUUGCUAUCCGUUGCCAUGUGACAAGGCUCAAAAAAUCCUGCAAUCAACAAAGGCCAGCAUCAGCUUUGCAGGGGCCCGACAUGGGGCCCCUCAAUGUAUCUGAGUCUACUCCCUGUCCCCAUUGUGUGGGAUUGCUGGGCACAGCAACAGCAGAAGAGUGCUGCCUGGUGGGUGACUUUCCGCCACUCCACUGCCCACUGGGAAAGGGGGAGAGGGAUGACUGGAGAGGUGAGAGUAUCACAGGCCGCAAUUCUUCUCUCUGUUACUCACUGCCGCUGCUUCUGCUACUGCCACCCACCUGGAAUAGCACAGGUGGUGCCUUCAAAGGAGGCUGAAGUUCCUUUGUUUCAGACUGGAGAGUUGGCACGUCUCCCUGCUUAUUUAACUUAUAUGCAGAAUUCAUCAUGCGAAAGGCCGGGCUGGAUGAAUCCCAAACAGGAAUUAAGAUUGCCGCAAGAAAUAUUAACAACCUCAGAUAUGCAGAUGACACAACCUUGAUGGCAGAAAGUGAGGAGGAAUUAAAGAGCUUUUUAAUGAGGGUGAAAGAGGAGAGCGCAAAAUAUGGUUUGAAGCUCAACAUAAAAAAAAUGAAGAUCUUGGCCACUGGGCCCAUCACCUCCUGGCAAAUAGAAGGGGAAGAAAUGGAGGCAGUGAGAGAUUUUACUUUCUUGGGCUCCAUGAUCACUGCAUAUGGUGACAGCAGUCACGAAAUUAAAAGACGCCUGAUUCUUGGGAGAAAAGCAAUGAGAAACCUAGACAGCAUCUUAAAAAGCAGAGACAUCACCUUGCCAACAAAGGUCCGUAUAGUUAAAGCUAUGGUUUUCCCAGUAGUGAUGUAUGGAAGUGAGAGCUGGACCACAAAGAAGGCUGAUCGCCAAAGAAUUGAUGCUUUUGAAUUCUGGUGCUGGAGGAGACUCUUGAGAGUCCCAUGGACUGCAAGAAGAUCAGACCUAUCCAUUCUUAAGGAAAUCAGCCCUGAGUGCUCACUGGAAGGACAGUGAAGCUGAGGCUCCAAUACUUUGGCCACCUCAUGCGAAGACUCCCUGGAAAAGACCCUGAUGCUGGGAAAGAUGGAGGGCACAAGGAGAAGGGGACGACAGAGGAUGAGAUGGCUGGAUAGUGUUCUCGAAGCUACCAGCAUGAGUUUGACCAUACAGUGGUGCCCCGCAAGACGAAUGCCUCGCAAGACGGAAAAACCGCUAGACGAAAGGGUUUUCCGUUUUGGAGGUGCUUCGCAGGACGAAUUCCCCUAUGGGCUUGCUUCGCAAGACGAAAAUGUCUUGCGAGUCUUGAGAUUUUUUUUUCGCUUUUCCCCCCCUUUAUCUAAUCUGCUAAGCCUUUAAUAGCCUUUAAUAGCCUUUUAGCAGCUAAUCCCCUAAGCCUUUAAGCCUUUAAUAGCCGCUAAACCGCUAAUAGCGCUAAUAGCGCUAAUCCGUCAAUGGGCUUGCUUCGCAAGACGAAAAAACCGCUAGACGAAGACUCUCGCGGAACGGAUUAAUUUCGUCUUGCGAGGCACCACUGUACUGCGGGAGGCAGUGGAAGACAGGAGUGCCUGGUGUGCUCUGGUCCAGGGGAUCACGAAGAGUCGGACACGACUAAACAACUAAACAACAACAACAUCAUGAUCACUGCUCUCUGUUUCAUACUUUUGAGUUUUGUACAGCAUGUUCCCAAAAACUGUCAAUCUAAAAUACAAGGCCUAUAUUGGUCCAUUUUGGCAAGUUGUUUGUAAGUACAAUGGUGCCUUGGUUUACAACCAUAAUCCGUUCCGGAGGUCCGUUUGUAAACCAAAACAGGUUGUAACCCAAGGCACGUUUUCGCCAAUGGGGCCUCCCAAAAAAAUCUGUUCAUAAUCCAAAAAAAACGGGUCCAAAAAAAGGUUGCAAACCGGGAAACGCACUUCCGGGUUUGAUGUGUUUGUAAUCCAAAAUGUAUGCAAACCAAGACAUAUGCAAACCAAGGUACCACUGUACUACUCACCUCCCUCCACAAAAAAGAGGUCUGGGGAUAUUUCUUACCCCUCAAAAGAAAGUCCCAAAUUUUUUAGCACCAGUCUUCAUUAGAAAGAAAGAUUCAUCUGAGAAACGUGAGAAAACUGGAUGUUUCAGGGAAGCGGGGUGGAAAUUAUCUCAUGUAUACAGGAAAUGAUUGGUUAUUAUAUAAGAAGGUUAUUAUACAAGGUCUUUUGGGUUAUCUAGAGGAGAUGUGUGACCAGAACACUGUAAUUUAGUUGUACGAUCGAGUAUUCCAAAAAGAUUGGAGUAAAUUUAUACAAUACUUGAAAGAGCAUUGUAAGCAAUUAGCAACAUCAGUAGGGUUAUCUGAAGACAUGUAAUGAGAUUUUCUAUAUUUAUUUUAACUGUGAGGUAUUUUGUAAUGAGUUCUAUUAGAGCUGGAAAACAUAUAUAAAAUGCUGUGAUAUAAAGUUUAGUUUUGAAAGCCAAGAGGCGGGAGGGAAGGAAGUUGACAGGCUCUAAGGAGCCAAAGAAGUAAAAUGGAUAAUAAUGAUGUGAUUAUACAGGGUAAAAAAGAGGCCUCGUGAAACGUAGGUACUCUGUAUCCACGGGCCUCUUUUAAAGGACUUACCCUGUAUAUAAUAAUAAUAAUAAUAAUAAUAAUAAUAAUAAUAAUAAUAGUAAAUUUUAUUUAUACCCUGCCCUCUCCGGCCAGAGCCGGGCUCAGGACAGCUAUCACCAGUAAAAUUACAGUAAACACAUAAUAGGAAAAGGAAAAAAACCAAUUUAAAAUACAGGUUAAAAUGCCAUUUAAAAUGCAGCCUCAUUUUAAAAGUAGCCCAUAGAUCAAAACCGUAAGGGGAGGGAAACAUAAGGGUCAGACCGAGUCCAAACCAAAGGCCAGGCGGAAUAGCUCUGUCUUGCAGGCCCUGCAGAAAGAUGUCAAGUCCUGCAGGGCCCUAGUCUCUUGUGACAGAGCGUUCCACCAAGUCAGGGCCAGUACUGAAAAGGCCCUGGCCCUAGCUGAGACCAAUCUAACCACCUUGCGACUUGGGACCUCCAAAGUGUUGUCAUUUGUGGACCUUAAGGUCCUCUGCAGGGCAUACCAGGAGAGGCGGUAAAUGGAAAAUUAAUAAGAAAUUAUUUUAAAACAACCACCACCACACUACCUACCAGUUAGCUCUAGGGAGGGGCCCGGGCAGACAGCACUCACUUCUUGGGCUUCAUGACAACUCCAGUGGUGCAAUCGCAGAGUGGAUGAGCCCCCUUCCACACCCCCUUCCGUUAUAAAGCUGCACAGCUUCCGCCUUGGGUUGGAGAGGCUGGGUUAGCAGAUGAGAGGAAAACAGGGGAUCCCCUCAGGUGGCCAGGGCAAGGAUUUGGGGGCACGGGGUGGGUGGGGGUGGAAGGACAUCACUGGCAACCCUGAAUGCAGGUGCCUAGGCGCUGGACAGCUCCCCAGGCACAAUGCCUAGGCAGGGAGCUGUCCAGUGGAAAAAGAAAAUCUGAACCAUGCCUGACCCUGGCAGCAACAACUCACUUGCCUCUCCAUCUGCAACACCUCAUGCCACCUGGACUUGGCACCACUUGGCUCACAAGUAUGACCUGAGCUCAUUCAUCCUCCUGGUCUACCUGCUCGACGAACAGGAGUGUUGAUGGCCAAGCUGUGCCUCUGUGCCCUCACCCUGACCAACCCGGAGUGCUGCCAGUUCUUCUGUCUGGACUGACGUGCUCUGCCUGAUGCUUGUGCCCCAACUGGAAGGCCCCCCCUCCAUGCCCAGAAGAACAUCUCUGUGGUCCAGAAGAUGCUUCUGGGCUUGAACUACCUGGCCACAGGGGACUUCCCCUGGCAUGUGGGCUCACUCAGACCCCCAGCUCUCUGCCUAAAGGUGCCUAUCUGCCUAUCUGGAAGCCAUAGGGCAUGGGUAGGCAAACUAAGGCCCGGGGGCCGGAUCCGGCCCAAUCGCCUUCUAAAUCUGGCCUGUGGACAGUUCGGGAAUCAGAGUGUUUUUACAUGAGUAGAUUGUGUUACAGUGGUGCCUCGCAAGACGAAAUUAAUCCGUUCCGCAAGAGUCUUCGUCUAGCGGUUUUUUCGUCUUGCGAAGCAAGCCCAUUGACGGAUUAGCGCUAUUAGCGCUAUUAGCGGUUUAGCGGCUAUUAAAGGCUUAAAGGCUUAGGGGAUUAGCUGCUAAAAGGCUAUUAAAGGCUAUUAAAGGCUUAGCAGAUUAGAUAAAGGGGAAAAGCGAAAAAAAUCUCAAGACUCGCAAGGUAUUUUCGUCUUGCAGAAGCAAGCCCAUAGGGAAUUCGUCCUGCGAAGCAACUUCAAAACGGAAAACCCUUUCGUCUAGCGGUUUUUCCGUCUUGCGAGGCAUUCGUCUUGCGGGGCACCACUGUAUUUUAUUUAAAAUGCAUCUCUGGGUUAUUUGUGGGGCCUGCCUGGUGUUUUUACCUGAGUAGAAUGUGUGCUUUUCUUUAAAAUGCAUCUCUGGGUUAUUUGUGGGGCAUGGGAAUUUGUUCAUUUUUCUUCUUCAAAAUAUAAUCCGGCCCCCCCACAAGGUCUGAGGGACAGUGGACUGGCCCCCUGCUGAAAAAGUUUGCUGACCCCUGCCAUAGGGACUCACAUGCAGGAGUGUAGAUUUUUUCAGUUGGUUGUCUUGAAUAGGGUUGUUUUGUAAGAACAAAACAAAAGUGCAGGGGGAGUUGGCACUUGAAUCUCUGUGUUUCUUGAAAGACCUACUUUGGCUCCCAGUACGUUUCCAAGCACAAUUCAAAGUGUUGGUGCUGACCUUUAAAGCCCUAAACGGCCUCAGUCCAGUAUACCUGAAAGAGCGUCUCCACCUCCAUCGUUCUGCCUGGACACUGAGGUCCAUCACCGAGGGCCUUCUGGCGGUUCCCUCGCUGGAAGAAGCCAAGUUACAGGGAACCAGGUGGAGGGCCUUCUCAGUAGUGGCACCCACCCUGUGGAACGUCCUCCCACCGGAUAUCAAAGAGAACAACAACUACCAGACUUUUAGAAGACAUCUGAAGGCAGCCCUGUUUAGGGAAGCUUUUAACGUUCGAUGUAUUACAGUAUUUUAAUGUUUUUUUGGAAGCCCAGCCAGAUGGGCGGGAUAUAAAUAAUAAUAAUAAAUAAUAAUAAUAAUAAUAAUAAUAAUAAUAAUAAUAAUAAUCUGGGGUGCAGACAUUAUGGGAGUGUAACUGGGAAUAUAGUGUUAUAUUAACAGCUGGCAAUGGUGGGACAGAAAGGGGUAUCUAUCUGCUAAGCAAAAGCCCUUGAGGCCUCAACUCGUUUCUUCCAAUUUGCACUGUAGCCCAAGCCUUCCCAGUUGCCUGUUCUCCUUCAAAGUGUGUUUGUUUAAUAUCGGACAUGUUUAUAUACGUUAAUAGUUUGCUAUAGAGAUCUGUCAGCCCAAACUGACAAAACCACAAACGAAAAGACUUUGCUGGUUGAAAUUAAAUGGCCACUUUGCUUUCGCACACAAAGGCGGACAGCCCUCCAGAGCUGCUUAAAUUAUGGCUGAAAUGUCUUUUAUAAACAUGCUUGGCACCUUUCAGGAGAUUAACAGAGAUAACCAUUUGCCAAGUGGCAACUUGCCGCGAUUGAGCUUAUAACCCUCGGAACGGUAUUCAGGGGACACCUUUUCGUAUUCUGAAACUUCCUGAGAGGCGAGGCAUUGGGGAUGAGUGCAACACAGCUACCCUCUCCUAACCCCCUUUCGGUCAAACUCCAACACAUGAAGUCCUCAAGGAGGUUCCCUCCCUGUGCACUGUGGAAUCCUGGAAAAACCAAAGUUAUAAAGCGAGCUUUCAGCAGCUUCACCACAUUGCCCCCUGCAAGUUUGAGGGUGGUGGAAAUGACAACAAGGGAAGAAAGACGCAGCACAUUUGCCCCCACUGAUUUGUUUGCAAAAUACUAAGAGGGAGUGCCUGGAGAUGGCUUUGGUUUUCAUAUAAAUAUAUAUUUAUAUGAACCAAACUCUCUCAAGGCUUAUUACAUAGAAGCUGUUUAAAAGUACACCUUCAACAAUAAAACAUAAGGGAGAAUAAAGAGUCAUUAAAGCAGCUGCAAGAAGAUCAAACCUCUCCAUUCUGAAGGAAAUCAGCCCUGAGUGCUCACUGGAAGGACAGAUCGUGAAGCUGAGGCUCCAGUACUUUGGCCACCUCAUGAGAAGAGAAGACUCCCGGAAAAGACCCUGAUGUUGGGAAAGAUGGAGGGCACAAGGAGAAGGGGACGACAGAGGACGAGAUGGUUGGACAGUGUUCUCGAAGCUACCAGCAUGAGUUUGACCAAACUGUGGGAGGCAGUGGAAGACAGGAGUGCCUGGCGUGCUCUGGUCCAUGGGGUCACGAAGAGUCGGACACGACUAAACAACAACAAAAGCAAAGUAGAAUAUAAAAAAUGCAAUACAAACAAAAACCCCUUUCCAAAUAAGAACGGCUGGGGAAAUUGUGGGAGACGUUUUAAAUCAAUCUUCAUGAAUCUCCACAUGCGCUUGAUAUGUGUUAAUAAAAUAUGGAGCCCAGUAGUGUUUUUUAAAAAGAACUUUCUGUCACAGGGUGAUGCAGAACUUGGCCUCGCUGCUGGCACUGGGUGCCACACAGUGGGGGCUGGCACUUACCGCGGGGCCUGCAGCGUCUCUCCUCGGAGUGACAUGGUGGCUUGGGGGCCUGCAGGCUCCAUGCUGUCUGCAACGGCAGCGUGGGACUUGCGCCUGCCCUCCACGUCUCCCUCAGCCACCCUACAGCUGAGGGGAGGUGGCGGAGAGGCUCCACGCCACGUGCCCCGCCCCCAUGGGUGGCUCGCCCCAACCCCGGCUGCAGGGCACACAUUCCGCACUCGGCACCCAAACGGCUAACUAUGCCACUGAGAAGAGCUUUGCUGAAUCCUAGAACAGAAUCCUGUUCUCACAGUGGCCAGCUAGACGCCUACAGGAAACCCCCAAAACAACAACAAAUCUCUGGUUACGUGAAGCAUAUUCAAUAAACACACAAGACGUAACAGGCUGUAUACUAUUCAUAUAUAUACUAUUCAUUAUAUUGAAUUGUAGAUUUCAGCAGAAGUAGCUCAUAAAGUUCAACGAAAAAAGUAGAAGACCCAGUGGAUCAGUUCAUUCUCUAAUCAGUUUAUGCAUAAAGUCCAUAUAUGUGAAAGUGUCUGUUCCACCUGUCUGUUCAUAGAGUCCAACAAUCCACGCAAAAGUUCCACAGAAUCCUUUCACAGCGUCUAAGACAAAGAUUUCCAGAAUAUUAGUCUUGUUUCGCCGUCUUGGGCUUCAUCAGUAGUACAAACUCUAGGUAAUGCAAAUAAAUACAAUAUUGUAAUCUCACACAUUUUUACAGCAAAAAUAAUAUAAAAACCGUAAACAACUGUACAUACCAUAUAUGAUGGAGGCCAUUGUGGGUUAGUAGUGAGGUGAGUUGAGUAUUAGAGAGAGGUGGUGGUGGUGGUUGGAGAUGAUAAGGAGAGGUGUUCAUUUGAUUGUUAUUUUGAUUGUUAUUUGAUUUAUUACUUUUAUUUGAUUCAUUUGAUUUUAUUUAUUUUUAUUUUAUUAUUUUACUUUUUUAUUUUAACACUUAUUUUACUUUUUUAUUUUACUUUCUGGUUCUUUAUAUUCAUAUUUUUUAUUUUACAUUUUUAUUUUGUGCACAUGUAUAUAUUUUGUAUAUUUUUAUUUUGUGCAUAGAGGAGUAGUUAGGGGUAAGUGUAGGGUUAAGGCGGGGGGUAGGCUUAGGCUUAGGGUGGGGUUGGGGUCAGAGUUAGGCUUGGGUGGGCAUUUUAGAUAGUUAGCUAGUUUAGAGAGGAGGGUGGGAAUUUUUUGUGAACAAAAUGUGCAGCUCGGCUCAGGGGGCUCCGAACCCUGAAGUGCUCCAAGCAGGAGACGGCCAAAGCUAUUAUGGUGAGUGAUGGGUGAGUGAGGGACCCCCAUGGGGAGGGAGGGGCAGAGAGGGGCUUUGGGCAUUUGCCGGAGAGGAGGACCCUUCUGGCUUAGGGGUUGCCAAUCCCCUGGAAAGACAGGUCUGGCGUUUGGGGUCAGAGCCGUCCUCUGGAGACCCCCCAGAAGGAGCUGACUUUCCUCCUCUGCUCUCUUCCAGCGAAUCUUUGGCCACUUGGAGCGCUUCAGGGAUUGCCCCCUGAGCCUGGCCUUGGCCUUGGAGGCCCUCCUCCAGCUGAGGUGAGUGGCGUCUUUGGGGUGGGCGGGGUUGCGGGGUUGGGGACAGAACUCCAGGGGGAGCUCCGGGUGGGCAAGAGCAGGCAGGAGGGAGAAGGGGGCAAGGGAGGAGGCAGCGUCUAACCCCUUCCAGCUUCAUGAGACCCCAUUUCAGCUGUGAUAUGGUCAGCGCUAUCCUGCAUAGGACACUGGAAGCUGUUUUUGGGGGUGCAGAAAAGGAGGAGGACAAAGAGCUAUGUCCUCUGCUUUGACAUCCCUUUGCACAUCUCUUUCUUCUUCUUACACCCUUGCAAGAUUUAACCCAGCACUCAACUUCUCUCCUCUAUUUUCCUGGAGGAACUGAAGUGGCACUUCCAGAGCCUGCUGGGAGGGGGGGGGUCUCCUCCUGGAAGCCCCCAAUGCUGGCACCCUCCUCCAGCUGCUCACUGUAAGGGUCCUGAUGGCAUCAGGAGUGGGUUUAGGCUUGCCCCCCAUCCCUUACCCAACAGACUGUCCCAUUUCUGAGGCACCAAGUCUCCUGUCCCGUUUGGCCCCCAAUUUGGCCCAAGACCAAAACUGGCAACCCUCAUGGUUCAGGAGUGCCAGGGACUCCAUGAUGGAGGCAGUGGAGGGCCGCUUUGGCCCAGACUGGCCCCUGACUCUGAGACGCUCUCUCUUCCCGCAGGACCUCCGAUAUUACGCCCUUUGGGGAAGUGAGGCAGAAAGGAAACUAGCGGCCAUCAGCGUUUCUCUGCUGAUGGCUGUUUCACAAAGAUUCUCCCACCUCAGAGUAAGUAUCUUGCCUUCCUGUAUUCAUUUCUUUGGUUGUUUCCAUCCCCCCAAGAGCCCAUCUCCCAGCGACUUUUAAUGCAGAAGAUGUGGUGUGUGUCCCUGGGUGCCAGGAUGAGGCCAGAGGCUUUUUCUGCUCCCUUUCCUGGCGCUGUCCUUCCACCUCUGCCCAGGGAGGUCCUCUGAGGCAAAGGAUUGUGCCCAAGCCAUAGGGAGAUCUGUCCUGCCUGGCGUGGGGCUGCUUCUGCGCUCUCUUGCACCCAUCCAGGGUGGGGUUCGUAGUGUCAUCUGACCCAGACUUUUCUUUCCUCUGCAGAACACAGUAAUUCGUCCGGAGCGGGCCUGUUUCCGGCAAAAUCUGAAAGAAGGUAAGCCCCACACCUUGGGGACAGCAAAUUCCCUUGUCCCUUGUUUGCCCAAGACACACCUCCCAGGUCUUCCUGCUGGGAGUCCUGCAGUACCUGCUCCAUGCCUGGCAGGCCUUUCCCAUGAAGGCAGGUCCACACCAUACACGUAAAACAUGGCGCGUACAUCCACCCACCCCAAGUCCUGGAAAUUGUAGUUUGUUAAGGACGCGGGUGGCACUGUGGGUUAAACCACAGAGCCUAGGGCUUGCCGAUCAGAAGGUCGGCGGUUCGAAUCCCCAUGAUGGGGUGAGCUCCCGUUGCUCAGUCCCUGCUCCUGCCAACCUAGCAGUUCGAAAGCACGUCAAAGUGCAAGUAGAUAAAUAGGUACGGCUCCGGUGGGAAGGUAAGCGGCGUUUCCGUGCACUGCUCUGGUUCGCCAGAUGCGGCUUAGUCAUGCUGGCCACAUGAUUCGGAAGCUGUACGCUGGCUCCCUCGGCCAAUAAAGCAAGAUGAGCGCCGUAAUCCCAGAGUCGGCCACGACUGGACCUAAUGGUCAGGGGUCCCUUUACUUUUACCUUAAGGAUGCUGGCAAUUGUGGCUCUGUGAGGGGAAAACAGUUCUCAGGAUCCUUUGGGGGAAGUAAUGUACUUUGGAUGUGUUUUAAAUACAUGGUGUGGAUCUGGCAUAAAAGUUUUAGGACAGCACAAUAUGAGACUGUAGCAGCGGUGGAGGAAGCCUCUUGGGCACCUGGGGCAGCGUGCCCAGGGGCAGGACGAACCACCCAUAGGGGUGGAGCAGGGCACACGGCGCCCAUAGGGAUGGAAUGGGGCGCUCAGCCUCCCAUGCCGUCCCUAUGGGUGCCACAGCACGCCCCAUCCCUAUGGGCACCGUGGUGCGUUCCGUCCCUAUGGAUGCUGUGCACCCUGUGACCUGUGAUCCCAUGCUGUCCCUAUGGGCGUCGCAUGCCAUGGGGAGUGUGGUGCCCAAAGGGACGAGAUGGGGGUGCGGUGCCCAUACAGGAUGGGGCGCCCGGUGCCCAAAGGGACAGGGCGCACAGUGGGGCAUCAGCUGCCCUACAGCUGGGGGGGAGCAGUGGGCAGACAGGGUAGCCUGCGGCGCCGAGACACAUGGUGAUGAGUGCUGCCCACCAUUUUGUCACCCCCUGUCAGAGUGACACAUGGGGUGGGGCAGGCCACCCCACCCCCACCCCUUCCUACGCCCCUGCUGACAGGCUCUCCCAGCUGGAUAAACAGGUCUUUACCACAAGUGCCUACUUUGCUAGAGUUUUAGUAUUGCUUAUUUGCUGUUUUGGUUUUUUAAACCGGUUUUAAUCACCUUACGCGUAAAUCACCUUGAGAUGGUUAACAACAACAAUUAUAUCAGCUACAUUAGGCAAGAGCUGCUUCUGUGAUUAAAAAUGUGUUUUAUGGCUUUCUUUGACAUCUGGAAGGAACUUCAACUGCCCUGAGUUCUGACCUGCUGAUCCUGAGAAUAAGCCACUGAAGUACGAUUUUUGGUCUCUAUAAACUUAUUCCUUUGGUGCCAGAUGCAAACAUGGAUCUUUUGACUGAUUAAUACGGAAAUCAUUUUUAAUCAGAAGACAUUUGGGAGGUAUUUUCCCAAGGCUAGUUCUUGUUCGGUAGAAACAUUUCAUAUUCCUCUUGCUUCGAAAGGGAGUUAAAGAGACAUUUAGAUUUCUUUGGAAGGGAGACGUGUAUUUCUGGUCUUAAAAGCAGUGCUACUGCCACCCAUGCCUGAAGGAGAAACUUUGACACGCAAGGAGUACCCGCAUGGCCUAUUUCCCAUCUUCCCACUCAACAUCUUCAGCUGCACAUCAGCAGAUGUGAUCACUCUCAGCGUGGGCUGUGAGAGCGCCAAGGGCAAGUUUGAUUCCAUAGUCAAAACCUGAGCAUGAAGGCAGAGUACGAACUUGCCCUCUGAGGUGCUUACCCUACACUGAGAUGCUUUUAAGCUCAGCUACCUGCCAGAUAAUUUUAAUUAUAUCCUGCUUACCCUAAGGUAAAAUACUUUUGUCAAGUUAAGAGCAAUUUCCUUGUAUGAUCUUGAGAUGAAACUCACCUCGAAAGUGUAUGUUGGGAAUGAGUCAAACAGUUAUAGUGGGUGAUUGAUUACAAGCAGCCAUUGGCCUAGUAGCAAUUUACCAGUAAAGGUAAAGAGACCCCUGACCAUUAGGUCCAGUCGUGGCCGACUCUGGGGUUGUGGCGCUCAUCUCGCUUUAUUGGCCAAGGGAGCUGGCGUUUGUCCACAGACAGCUUCUGGGUCAUGUGGCCAGCAUGACUAAGCUGCUUCUGGAGAACCAGAGCAGCGCACGGAAACGCCGUUUACCUUCCCGCUGGAGCGGUUCCUAUUUACUUACUUGCACUUUGACGUGCUUUCGAACUGCUAGGUUGGCAGGAGCAGGGACCGAGCAACGGGAGCUCACCCCGUUGCGGGGAUUCGAACAGCCAACCUUCUGAUCGGCAAGUCCUAUGCUCUGUGGUUUAACCCACAGCGCCACCCGCGUUCCUAAUUUACCAGUAGAUAGCUGGUAAUCGUUUGCCCAUCUGCGGAUGAGAACAUCACCGCACAGACACAGCCAAUCAGAAAUCCAGGGAAACGGGUUGUGGGCAAAUGAUCCUUGCUACCUGUGCCUUCCUCUUAGCACGUUUCUCCCUUUAGUCCUGAGUUCGAGUGUCUUCAAAGCCCAGGACACCUUUGGUAAAGGCUGUUCUCCAACUGGAGUGCUCACAGGCAAGUGUUUCCCAAUUGUUGGUGUUUAUACUACAUUUUUAAAAAUUUGCCUUUAAACUUCUUUUGUUGACCACCAGCAUUACGCUUUCCAUUUUUAAGUUCAGAAUAGAGUACAGUGGUACCUUGGGUUAAGUACCGUAUUUUUUGCACCAUUACACUCACUUUUCUCCUCCUAGAAAGUAAGGGGAAAUGUCUGUGCGUGUUAUGGAGCGAAUGCCUACGGAUGGCGGGGGGAUCUGCUGCAGUCGUGAGCAGAGGAUCCAUGGUUCCCCUUCCUUCCCUCCUCCGUGGCUCGCUUUGAAACAGCAAAGCAGAAGAAGAGCCUCUGAGUGGGGAGGAGAGAGGGACAGAGAGCCUGCUUGCUUUAAAGGAGCAAAGUGGGAGAGGAGAGGAGCCGCUUACACGAGUGUUGGCUCGUUUAAAGCAAGCAGGCUCUCUGUCCCUCUCUCCUCCCCACUCAGCUGGCUAAAUAGCAGCAAAGUUUUUCAGCGAGCCGGGAAGGAGGGAGAGAAGCAGAGCCUGCUUGCUUCUCCUCUUAUACCCCUCUUCUGCAUUAUUAACAGCAUCCUUCUCCACCCACCCCAUGCGUGUUCCUUGUCCCUUGAGUGCUUUUCCUUCCCUCCCCACUUAAAACAUGGUUACAAAGCAUGGAUCCACAUGGAUCCUCAAGAUUUUUGCAGUGGGUCACCCCAAAUUCACCAUCAGAUCACAUAGCAUGUCCAUGGCUACAGCUUGCACCAAAAAAAUCACGCACCCACUGUUGCCUGGGGCCGCAGUGGUGCAAAAACGUGGUUACAAAGCAUGGAUCCACAUGGAUCCUCAGGAUUUUGCAUUGGGCUACCUCAAACUCACCGUCAGAUCACAUGUCUGUGGCCACAGCAUGAACCACAAAAAUCAUACAUCCACUGUUUCGUUUAGAAUAUUUUUUUUCUUGUUUUCCCCCUCUAAAAACCAUGUGCGUGUUAUGGUCGGGUGCGUGUUAUAGAGUGAAAAAUACGGUACUUAAUUCGUUCCAGAGAUCUGUUCUUAACCUGAAACUGUUCUUAACCUGAAGCACCACUUUAGCUAAUGGGGCCUCCUGCUGCAGCCGUGCCGUCGGAGCAUGAUUUCUUUUCUCAUCCUGAAGCAAAGUUCUUAACCCGAGGUACUGUUUCUGGGUUAGUGGAGUCUGUAACCUGAAGCGUAUGUAACCUGAAGUGUAUGUAACCUGAGGUACCACUGUAGUUGCUUUGGAAGAUGAUCAUCAGGCAUCUGCACAACAUGACCAGUCCAACGAAGUUGAUGUUGAAGAAUCAUCGCUUUGACACAGGUGAUGUUUGCUUCUUCUAGUACACUGACAUUAGUUCGCCUGUCUUCCCAAGUGAUGUGUAAAAAUUUUGUUCAGGUUGUGGAUGCCUUCCAUAUGUACUACUGGCAAGUUGGGUGUCCCCCAUAUUAUAUUGGUGCAGCUGAUUCUUCUUGCCUAAGUGCUGAACCUUACAUUUGGAGUCCUUAUUGAAAUUCAUGUUGUUAGUUUUGGCUUAGUUCUCCAAUCCGUUAAGGUCAUCUUGAACCCUGAUUCUUUAUUCUAAGUAUUAGUUAUCCUUUGGUGUCAUCUACAAAUUUGAUGAGCAUCCCCACAAUUCCUUUGAGGAGUUGAGCAGGGGCAGGUCACUCAUAAGGGACAGUAAAUGGAUAAGAGAUGGGAUUUACAAGGUUGCCUGAGGCUUGGAUGAGAUGAAGGAUUUUGUGCCUCUCUCACAUCCAGAAAUGCCAUGCAUGAAAUUUCCUCUAUUUGCAUUAUCAAUAAACCCCCUGUCCCCUCCCCCAGUCUUCUGUUGGGCUCUUGAAUGAGGCUGAGGCAACCAUUUAUUAAAAUUCACUUGUUAGACUAAGAAUGCAGCCUGCUUCUAUAAACCGUUGGAGCAACAAGGUCUCCUGGUUCUCACAUUACAUACCAUGCACGACAGAGUCUCACAUUAGCAAGGCCCAAUUAAACCAAGCCGUUGAUUAAACAAGCCAAUGAGAGUAAUUAGCUUAAUUAGAUUCUUUCCAUAAUGGCGCUGGACUAUUGUAGAGAGGCAGCGAAAGAAUAAAGCGAAUCAAACUUUUCUUCUUCUCCUCCUUCUCCCGAAGUAAUUAGAAUUGGCUGGUGCAAUUUUUUAACUCACAGGUCUGAAUAGUGGCUCAGGGCAUUGGGGUGGGGGAGAGAAUGAUUAAUGAAGGUGAGGAUAUGGAAAGCAAACAAAAAGAAUGGAAUGUAUCUCAAAUGAAUGAAGAGGAGGCAGCUUUGGUAAGAAACAGCAUCUUAUAUCCUGCAGCGGUUGCUAAAGUGUCUGUCUCAAGUACGCAGCCGCGACACUGCUUCCUUCGGAAGAGGGGAUGUCGCCCCCCUCACCUUUAUUCUUACAUUGUUUUCUAUUCAGGUGUAAAUUCAGUUCUGUUAAAAGAAGCCCCCCCCCUUCAGGAGCACAUACAAGCUCAAAGAUCUGGUCUGUGCAUGCACUAAAAGUGUUUUCACAUCUAUCAGUGUAUUCUACGAUACAAAAAGAUAACCUUUAUUGCCGUUGUCCCAUACAGAACAUCGGAAUUGAAAAAUCUACAUAAAACAUUCAAAACCCAACAAGCCUGCUAUCCCAGCCUGGCUAGCCCCCUAAAAACUCUGAUACCCCAUUUUUAAAUACAAUAUACUCCCAUAGAGACUACCUUACACUGCGUUUAAAACCAAAAUCACAUUUGGGUAGAAACUGUUUCUCAGGCGGCUAGUCUUUAUAACCCUGUACCUUCUUCCAGAAGGCAGAAGCUGAAAGAGAUCAUUUCCAGGGUGUGCACUAUCCUGCUCUAUAUCUGCAGCUUUCUUAUGGCACCUGGCAGCAUAGAUUUGAUCCAAGGUGGGAAGAGUGCACCCAAUUAUUCUCUCAGCAGUCUUUACAACCCUGGAUUUUGUUUUUUCCCCUGACCAUGCAACUCCCAAACCACACACACAAUUAAACCAUACCUUCCAGUUUCAACAACAGCUUUUUCAGUAAUCUUUGUCUGGGGCUUGUAAACUGCAUGAGUGGCUCAGAGCGCCUUUUGCCAGGUGAAGCGGCUGUACCAAAUGCAAUCCCUCCUGCUGAGAGAUUGCCAGGCCCCAGUUGGCAAGUUCCUGGUAACCUUUGGGAUUGACUACUCACAGUGCUUUAUGUGGAGAUGCUCUGGACAACCGUUGAGGAUCACCUAAGUGCAGCAGCCAGCUAGUAGAAACCAUAUAGCUGCUUAAAAAUCCUAACUGGUUUUUGGUCCAUUUCUGAGCACAAUUCAGAUGAAACACUAGUACACAGAAAAACAACUAAUGGACUUUUAGAAAACAUCUGAAGGCAACCCUGUUGUGGCGAUCACACAGGGUCCCCGGACGUUUGACGGUCUGUUGAUCCCUGUGCCACCACUGUGAUUGCUUCCCCGCUGCCACCAACCCGUUUCUCUCGGGUACACACAGAGUCCAGACAGUUGUUAACAUUAACAAAUAAUCAAGUUUAUUUUAUAGGCAUGAACUAGUUUAUGGUUUCAGUUAAUUUUUCUUGGCAGUUUUUCAAUCUUAGUUUCAUUACUGACCUAUACAUUCCUAACAACUUCAAACUGGUUAUCCCAACUAUCUGUCUCUGACUCCACCUAACAGUUCCUCUCACUCUCUCACAACACAACUCGACCAACCCACAGACAUAUCCUCCCUCUUCCUUCUCCAACUCCCAACUCUCAACUGACUUCCACACAACUCCAACUCUAACUCCUCCCCUUGGGUUCCCACUGGCCAAUCACUUCACACUCAUUUAACCCUUUCCUUAUGACCCACCUAGGAGGCAAACGCCACACCUGUUCAGGGAAUUUUUUUAAAGGUUGAGGUUUUACUGUGAGAGACCCCCCCCAUGGGAAAUGGGGGCACCAUGCUGCUCUGGUUCAGUUCCUACACAAAGGACUGCCAAUUCCAGGUGGUAGUGCUUGAGGAGACUACUGCUCAGUGUAAUACAGUGGUACCUCAGGUAAGUACUUAAUUCGUUCCGGAGAUUUGUUCUUAACCUGAAACUGUUCUUAACCUGAAGCACCACUUUAGCUAAUGGGGCCUCCCGCUGCUGCCGCCGCGCCGCCGGAGCACGAUUUCUGUGCUUAUCCUGAAACAAAGUUCUUAACCCGAGGUACUAUUUUUGGGUUAACGGGUUAACGAAGCGUAUGUAACCUGAGGUACCACUGUAGUGCUUCUCCUAUGAUUCACAUGGUUCCACUUUGAUGUCUAUGCUUUCUACCAACUACAUAAUGCUACUGAGUGAGAUCAUAUGGGGAUUUGGAAGGAGCUUUCCCCCUUUCCCUCCUGCUUUUCGUGUGGCUUAUAAAGAAGAAACAAUCCCUCCCUCUCCAAUGAUAACCUCCAAGUCUCUCACUUGGACUACUGCAAUGCGCUCUACGUGGGGCUACCUUUGAAGGUGACCCGGAAACUACAACUAAUCCAGAAUGUGGCAGCUACACUGGUGACUGGGAGCGGCCGCCAAGACCAUAUUACACCGGUCCUUAAAGACCUGCAUUGGCUCCCAGUACGUUUCCGGGCACAAUUCAAAGUGUUGGUGCUGACCUUUAAAGCCCUAAACAGCCUCAGUCCAGUAUAUCUGAAGGAGCGUCUCCACCCCCAUCGUUCUGCCCAGACACUGAGGUCCAGCGCCGAGGGCCUUCUGGCGGUUACCUCACUGCGAGGAGCCAAGUUACAGGGAACCAGGCAGAGGGCCUUCAUGGUAGUGGCGCCUGCCCUGUGGAACGCCCUCCCACUAGAUGUCAAAGAGAAAAACAACUACCAGACUUUUAGAAGACAUCUGAAGGCAGCCCUGUUUCUGGAAGUUUUAAUGUUUGACAGAGUAUUGUAUUUUAAUAUUUUGUUGGAAGCCACCCAGAGUGGCUGGGGAAACCCAGCCAGAUGGAUGGAUUAUUAAUAAUAAUAAUAAUAAUAAUAAUAAUAAUAAUAUUCCACCUUAUACCCAGAGGUCACAGAAAAGAUCACAAAAUCAAAAUAAGAACAAUAACCCAAUACCCACCUCCCAAAGAAUCACAUUUUAAAGGGUAUAUGAUGUUCAUCCAGUCAACCAAACGCCUGGUUAAAAAGGAACAUUUUUGCCUGGCCCUAAAGGUGUAUAGAGGGACGCGGGUGGCGCUGUGGGUAAAACCUCAGCGCCUAGGACUUGCCGAUCGCAUGGUCGGCGGUUCGAAUCCCCGCGGCGGGGUGAGCUCCCGUUGUUCGGUCCCAGCUCCUGCCCACCUAGCAGUUCGAAAGCACCCUUAAGUGCAAGUAGAUAAAUAGGUACCGCUUUCUAGCGGGAAGGUAAACGGCGUUUCCGUGUGCGGCGCUGGCUCACCAGAGCAGCUUCGUCACGCUGGCCACGUGACCCGGAAGUGUCUUCAGACAGCGCUGGCUCCCGGCCUCUUAAGUGAGAUGGGCGCACAACCCUAGAGUCUGUCAAGACUGGCCCGUACGGGCAGGGGUACCUUUACCUUUACCUUUAAAGGUGUAUAAUGAAGGCACCAGGUGAACUUCCCUGGGGAGAGCAUUCCACAGGCAGGGAGCCACUGCAGAGAAGGCCCUGUUCUCGUGUUGCCACCCUCCGGACCUCUUAAGGAGGGGGCACACGAAAAAGGGCCUCAGAGGAUGAUCUCGGGGUCUGGAUAGGUUCCUAUGGAAAGAGGCGGUCCUUGAGGUAUUACGGUCCUGAGCCAUUUAAGGCUUUAUAGGUCAAAACCAGCACUUUGAAUUGAGCCCGGAAACUAAUCGGUAGCCUGUGCAGUCAGACCAGGAUCAGUGUAAUAUCUUCAGACCGUCUUGCUCUGGUGAGCAACCUGGCUGCUGAAUUCUGCACUAGCUGAAGUUUUCGAACCGUCUUCAGAGGCAGUGCAUAAUGUCUGGCUCUGUGUAUACACUCCCAUUUGCCCUGCACCUAAGGUGCUUCCACCACCGGUUUGGGAAGCAAAUGUCUAUGCACCAUAUGAGCCACAAUCCAUAUUGAUCCUGCUGUUUCUUUGGCAUUUGAGCUGCCAAACCAGCUGAGACCCAAAAUGGAGAAAAGGAACAGCCUAGCUUCAUUUGAAGCACCGUUAAAAAACCGAUAGAAAUACAAUCCCUUUUGGAAGCUAACCCUUCAAUCUCUGAAGAGCGCCGGGUUGUUGUUGUUUUUUACCGGAGAACCGGCAAGCCAUAAAAAAACAUUGCAGCAGUUUCACAAGUUGCCCUGGAAUGCUGUAGUAGUGAAACCCUGUGUGAACAAAUCUCCCCCCCCCCCAAAAAAAGCCCAAACCAAAAAACUCUAAUGUCAGGUGGUGCCCCUCCUUGGAACCCAACCCUGAGCAGCUUGCCCCCCCCUCGCCUCGCCUCACAAUGCGGCAGAGAGACCGCAAUGGCCCCGUUUUACAUGAAAAAGGCCCCUAUUGAGGCUCGCUGGGCCAAGGAGUAGGAAUUAUUAAUCACUCCUCCAAAAGGAUCUGCCCAAUUCAUGGCAACCUAACUUCAAAUCAAUUAGUUCAUUUGUCCUCCCCUAUAGCUGUCCGGCGCACAAUGGCGACAUCUCCCGCAAAAGAUGACACGGGGGGGGAAGAAACCACAAAGAUUGCUUGUCCUAAUGAGCAAUUAGGAAAGCGUGUAGGUUUCCUCUUUCUUCGGCCCAUUCUGAGGCCUGAAUUCUAAAAGUGAUGCUUUUCUUCUCAACUUCCUGUUUGUCAAAUGAAGUGCUAAUCAGGGCUCCUUGGGGAUGGCGAAGGGGGGGCGGGAUAGCACAACCUCUAGCUGACCAAAGUUGGAUGAGGUGAAGUGGCUUCGUCCGCAGCGCAGGGUAGCUGGAAGAGAAAAUAAUCAGGAGCGGUGUGUCCCCCCACACCCCGCACCUUCGGAAAACACGCUGCCCUCCAAGCAGUUCCACACACCUGAGUUAAAAUUGGCACAUCACUCGUUAGCCACGCCAACGCUCCGAGGGGGCUUGCACAUGCAGCGAUAAGCAUGCCUCUUUCCCUUAUGAAAGUUGUGUGGGAGACUGCGGUCACAUCAUACAAUGCAGAUUCUUGCUGGCUAGUGUGAUAGGAAUUUUGAGGUCUUUGUUGUUGUUGUUUAGUCGUUUAGUCAUGUCCGACUCUUCGUGACCCCAUGGAACAGAGCACGCCAGGCACUCCUGUCUUCCACUGCCUCCCGCAGUUUGGUCAGACUCAUGCUGGUAGCUUCAAGAACACUGUCCAACCAUCUCGUCCUCUGUCGUCCCCUUCUCCUUGUGCCCUCAAUCUUUCCCAACAUCAGGGUCUUUUCCAGGGAGUCUUCUCUUCUCAUGAGGUGGCCAAAGUAUUGGAGCCUCAGCUUCACGAUCUGUCCUUCCAGUGAGCACUCAGGGC